Molecule: long non-coding RNA, 72647 nt
Filed under: Durio zibethinus
Lineage: Eukaryota; Viridiplantae; Streptophyta; Magnoliopsida; Malvales; Malvaceae
Description: long non-coding RNA (DZIB_LNC001594)
Source: RNAcentral
CCAUACAUGUUAGAUCCAAGCCAUAGAAUUUUCAUUGAUUUUACAUCUCAAGGCUCUUUGGGUAGUUUGGCUCUCUUUUUUUGUUUAUUUAUCACACUAAAAUAACACAUAAAUAAAAUGGCAAAACUAGUGUAUCAGAAAACUGGCUAUUAAAAAAAAGCAAGAUCCCCCUCUUUGGUGGCCAGGUAUGCAUAAAUUGAUUCUGUUAUCCAUGGUUUUUGUAAAUUUGAUUUAUCUUUAUAAUGAUUCUUUUCCUGCAUAUUUUCAGAUUGUCUUGAUUCUUGAAGCCUAAAACUAAUGAUAUACUGUAUAUUGUACUGAAUACCUCUUUCAGUGAAUGUACAAUGUGGUUGCUCUUAGGGUUGCUUUGAGAACUAUGAACUCUUUGUUUCUGGAUCUGAUUUGGAACGAUAGUUCCAUUGCCUAUUUUUUAGUAGAUUUCUGAACUUUUUCGUAUAUGCAUCAAAUGAUUACUCAGUUUGCAUACUUUAUUUUUGGGCAAUUUAAAUAUCUUUUAUUAUAUUUGCUAAUGAAACAAUCUAAUAGCUGUAACUAGUUGCCUUGCCCUACUGAUUUAAGACUAAUAGGUUAUUUUGUGUUUAGAAUGAUAUGAUGCUGCAUGUGAAAAAUUUUUACUUGUGACUUGUGAGUGGAAUCAUUUGAAAUAGCGUUUCGGGAACCUUCUGAGAUACAAUGAAGUUAUAUGAUGUAAUGUUUCUUCAAAUCGUUAGCUUUCAAUGGCAACUCCUGUAGUUUGGUUUGAUAUUGCUUUCAUUGUGCCUGCUGAAGCAGUUGAAUUUAAAUAUUCUCGGGGUCACAAAGGUUUGUGUCUUCUGUACUGGAAUUAAUUCAAUCUACCUCGGUUUCUUUGGUAACCCAUCUAGUUUGGUUUGAAAUUGCUUUCAUUCAGCCUUCUGAAGAAGUAAAAAAUAGGUAUUCUGAGGAUCAUAAAGAUUUGUGUCUUCUGUGCUGGAACUUUUUCUAUCUAUCUGGGUUUCAAUGGUAACCCCUGUAGUUUGGUUUGAAAUUUCUAUGAUUCAGCCUGCUGAAGCAGUAAAAAUUAGCUAUUCUCAGGAUCAUAAGGAUUUGUGUCUUCUGUUCUGGAAUUAAUUGAAUCCAUCUGGGUCAUGUUCUCGUUUCUAUUGAUUUCUGGAUCUAUACGUGAUUAGCAUUUAGCAGUGUUCCAUAUGUUCAUGGAAAUUUGUACCAGUUCAAUUCUAACUGAUAUUGCCUUCAUUGACUUGACUUGCUUUUAAUCAUAUCAGACUUUAGUUUGUGUUGGAAUUGAUAAUGUACAUGCCCAGGUUGUAAUCUAUGUGUUUUGUUCAACUAUUUGAACUUUCAAAGAUGGUGUUUAUAUGUUUGUGGUUCUUCAUUUCUAUUCCCGUCCUUUUUCUGUGCUGGAUCCCUUAUUGAGACUAGUUAAUUUUUAGGACCGCCAAAAGGAGAAAGCAAUUAUGAAGAAACUAUAGAAUUUGAUCCAAUUAUUCAUCACAACCAGUUCUGCCCCUGGGUGAAUGGAAAUGUUGCUGCUGCUGGCUGUAGUAGCACCGGCUCUAACACCAGUGCUGAUGUUGUUGCACUUUGUGGAUGGCAGCUGACCUUGGAUGCUCUGGAUGCUCUGCGAUCACUAGGGCAUAUUCCUGUGCAGACAUUACAGUCUGAGUCAGCAGCAUCAUUAUAUAAGGUAGUGGCCUUAAUUCUGAAAUAUGGUUUGUCUGGGGCGUAACUUUUGUUUUCUUGAUUGAACAGCUUAUAGACUGCUUUCAUUGAUGACUAGAAUACAUGUAUCUUUUGAAGAAUUAGAAAUAGAUGGUUAGCUAGCCUCUGCUGUCAAGUCAUGAAUCUGUUUCCUGUUCUUACAUGCAUGGUUUUAUGAAUUAUCUGCUGUUCUCAUUGGUGUGUCCUUGCUCUAGUUUUAGUGAAAAGAGUCCAAAAUUGUGAAAACAUUUCACUGAAGCUUACUUCCUAGCUUUGACCUACUGCUUUAUACACGACACUCAUGCUUCAAUGAGGCAUUUAGAGAUUUAAUCUGUGGAUUGUAGUACUUUCAUGGCUCCUUCAUUCAGUUAAUUCAUAACCAAUGCUGUUGUAGCCAUUAGCAUACCUUAAGCAAAAAGAGUGAAAAAUUUCGGUUGUUCAUAAUCAUUUAAAUCAACACUGUUGAAGCAGUUAUUAUAUCUUUAGCAAAGGAGAGUGUAAAGUUUUCAAUUCGGAUUUUUUAUAAUUAGUUAUUGGUGACCAUUGCUCCUAGAUCAGUUUUCAGAUGUUUGUUAAUAAUUACUAUGAUUGAACUUGUUUUCUUUGGGAAAGAGCUAAGUCAUCUGAUAUCUAGGUAGUUAUGGUUCAUGCCUUUUCAUUUUAGCAAUUAUGGGAGUAGCUGCUACAGGCUACUGGUACCUCUGAUAUGCUUGACACUACUAAUCUAACCCCUCAUUUCCUCAACUAAUUUUGCCUAUUUGCUUAUGCAGGAUGAUCACCAAGCUCCUGGUAAAAAGCUCCUUCGACGGAACUCAAUAAACAAAAGUUGCGGGCAACAUUGACAGUCAAGCAUAAAGACACCUGCAAUGACUAGUAAGUAUGUCACUUGUGUAAAAUGAUUUGGUUGUAGCUUCCCCUAAUCAUGCAUCUUUCUUUAUGUAAUCCUUGUUUUAACUAGAUUUGGGAUCAUCAUAACAAGUUUAGGAGAGAUACUUUUAGGUAUUGAGCAAAUUUAGGGAGGGUGGGCCAAGCCUAAGAGUGUGUGUGUGUGUGUGUAUUUAUAUAUAUAUAUAUAUAUAUAUAUAUAUCCUACAUUUUUUCAAUACAAAAAGGUGUUGAAAAGAUCUACUUGUUAUACGGUUCCCAGAUCUACAAUGUCUGUGUAUAAAAAAAAUCAGAAUACUUGAUCUUAGGUUGAAAAAAAUUAGAUAGUUCUCUUGCAAAGGGGUGUGAUUAUUUGCUAGCUUUAAUGUAAUUAAUUGUUGGUCACACAGCUAUUACAAGCAUUUCUUUUUGGCAGGAAGUAAAAGUUAUUUACAUUUAUUUUAUUGUUUGAAAGGAGGAUCUUGACUAUCAAUCUGAUUAUACUUCAUUGCUGUAAUGAGAAUUGUGAUUUAAUUAGAGAGUCUAGAUGCAUGGAGAAACUUUUUGAUUUUCUAAAUGACAACUAAAUGAAAUAGGUGAUUUGGAGCUGGAGUUUUGUAAAAAAAUUACCAAUUUUAGGUUAUUAAUGCCUAUUAUUAAAGAAAAAAUUUGUUAAUCAUGGCCAAACCUAAGAGUGCAACAAUAAAUUAUGAAAAGAUAGAAAUAUGUAUUAGCAUUAUACAUUUAAUCUCCCAGAGUUAAAUAUAGCUACAAAUGCAACCUUCUUUUGAACUCCAAGGAAAAAUGAAAAAAGAUGUAUGUUACAAUUACAAGUUUAAUUGGCAUCCUAAAGUUAAAUACCUGCAACUGUUAACAAUGAAUGUAACCUUCUUUAAAAUUCCAAAAAGAAUGAUUACAUUGAGAUAUCUUCAAUCAUAUGUGCCAACAUAGUCAUGAUUUUAUAAUCUGAAGAAAGCAUGAUUUUACAAGUUAGAACAGACAUCUGUGCUUUUCUCAACAAGACAAGCAGUAAAACAAGUAAUUUAGACAUACAAACCUUAUGCUGCAAAUAUGAUUGUCUCCUUGACAGAAUCUGCUCUACUGUAGCAACAGUUUGCUUUAAGCAUGCAGCAAUGUAAUUAUGAAGUCCACAUAUGCCAAUGUCAUGUAGGAAGGUAUAGCAUUCAAUGAUUGGAGCAAAUUGGAAGCUUUUUCAGUAGUUGCUAUUGGAAUUGUUGCCAGGGAAAGUUAUGUCAAUUCUUACUCCGAUCUUAUUAAAACCUUGUUUCACGGUAAAGUAAUUUGUAUUAUUCGAGUGAGAUACUUGUCUAUACUGCAUAAAUUAUGUUUUUGCUAUCUUUAAGCAGGUUCUUCUGACUAUUAUGAAUAUUAUUAUUAUUCACUUGAUCACUGAUGUAAGUUAACAUUGCUGUUGAGAACAAAUGUCACUAGUUCUACAAUUUUCAUUUGGGAUUCUAAUUUCAUGUUUUGGAAAUUGUGAUGACACUGCUAAUAAGACGGAGAAUUUUGGUUUUGUUGAUAAAUGAUGGAUACAUAACAUAGUCAUUAUGCAUUUGGUUCGGUGUCUGCUAAUAAUGCUAUCAUGUGGCAUACUGGAUGGUUGUCUUGAGUUUUUUACUCCUAAUUCUAGUAAUGAAGUGUAUUUUGUUCCACUUUUUUUCCUGGGCAAUUCUUUUUGCAGUUCUGUUUUUCUUGCGCAAUGCAUUUGUAAGUUCAGCAGCUGGGAAAGGGAGAGUAGCCAAUGGACUACAAAUAUUCUUCUGAUAGUUUGAAUUUUGUUUUAUAAAGUCUUUGAUGUUGAUUCUGGAUUGAAAUACAUGGUGAAUGCAAAUUUAGGACAAUGUGAGGACAAAAAGAGUUAUUAUUAUCAUUAUUAUUUGCUUCUGGGUUUUGGUGUCUUUAAUAGAUACGAGUAUAUUGUAAAUUAAGUUGGCUCGACCAGGCUUAGCUGCCUUUUGAAGCAUGUUUUUUAGGAGGACAUGAUGUUGAUAUAACACCAUUAAAAGAGGUGGGGAAUUAGCGAUUACACGCAGGAGUGGGGUGGCCCGUAUCAAGAACUGGGCCACCCAAGUCAUCUAAAACAAAUCUGACUCUAGCCAAUCAUUUUCUACUCAAUCUCAACGUGUCAUUGUCAAAUAACAUACAGAUAAGACCAAUAAGAUUAGUUUUCGGACAAGGAGCCUAUCUCUCUCUGUUUCUCGACCGUCUGAGCAACUGCAUUACAAUCUUCUCUAUGCAUCUCUUCUAAUAAACCCGCAUUUUCCCCUACAAAUUCCCAAGAAGCAAACAACCUUUUACCAGCAAAACCUAAAAGCCUCCUCCAUGAACACCAACUCUACUCGUCAACUCAUCAUAAUCUGUCCCUUCAAAUCAAAGAGAAAAUUUUAAGCCCUGAAAUCAUGGCCAUUGACUUGGGUAAAGUGCUCUCUCUUAACCCUUGUCUUCACAUCACUUUCCUUGAUUCACUCCAUUCCAUAAUUUCCUUCCUCCAAUCGAAAGGCAUUCACCAAAAGGACUUCCUAAGAAUCUUUGGUAUGUGCCCCAAAAUCUUAACCUCUAACAACCCAGUUUUCAGUUUCCUCUCCCAAUACCUUAAUGUCCCUGAAAACAUAGAAAGUUCAUUAGUAAGUGUCCAAGAUUACUUACUUCGAGUGUCAGAGACCGGCUAAAACCAGCUUUGUUCUAUCUUAAAAGGCUUGGAUUUAAACAUUUAGAAGCUUUGGCUUAUCAAGAUCCUAUAUUGUUGGUUUCUAGUGUUGAACAUACCUUGAUACCUAAACUGAAGUUCUUGGUAAGUAUAGGGUUUUCAAGUAAUGAGGCUAAAAGCAUGGCGUUGAGGUGUCCAGGGUUGUUCACUUUCAGCAUAGAAAACAACUACAAGCCAAAAUUUGAGUACUUUAACGAGGAGAUGAAUGGAAAGUUGGAGGAGUUGAAGGAGUUUCCUCAGUUCUUUGCUUUUAGUUUGGAGAAGAGGAUAAAACCAAGCCACAUUGAAGUCAUGAAAAGUGGGGUUAAAUUGCCUUUGGCUAACCUGCAAAAGAGUACUGAUGAACAGUUUAAAAGGUUGCUGAGACAAGGAGGCAAUAGUUGAUGAUAUGUGAUUUUCUUCUGUUUCUUUUGGGUCCUUGUUUCAUAUGUAAAUUGGGCAAUUUCAUUCAAUGCACCGUAAAUAAAAGACCAGAGCUGUAAGAUAUUGAAAUGGGAGUGACGUACUAUGUUUUACUUUAUUUUAUUUUAUUUACCGUUUUUUACUCAACCCACGUAUCACAUAUGGAAAAGUUUCAUAUGAUUAUGCAAUUAAGAGAUCAAGGCCUAAGGUUUGAGUGGAAUGGCCUAAUGGAACUUGCAAUAAGAAAUCGAUAUGCAGUUUUUCAUUUUUAACAUCACUGUUGGAAUAUAUAUAUAUAUAUAUAUAUUUUAUUUCGAUAGUGAAGCAUAAAUGAAUUCUUUACAAUUUCCGGGAAGGAGAAAACAAAAGGCCCUUAUAGUUUUGUCCUCUUUGACCGAAAAAGGCAAUCAGUUAAUCAGACAAAGAUACCAUAACCAGAUAAAGGACUUUGAUAAGGAAAAACGUUAUCCUGUGUUUCUCCAAGAGUUUAACGUUCCUAUAUCAGGGAGAUGACGGUUCUUUUUUCUCGGGUAAUUACUAGGAUUUCAGGGACUCCCAGAAAAACCUUGUUUGGCUGCCCUCAACACUGCCAAUCUCUUGUCUUUAGCACUAGCUGUCUAUCUUCCACUGAUUCUAACCCAAAGGUACUUUCAAAAGCUUUGAUCUUCUUUGUUUUCUAUAGCAGCAACUGAUUAAUUGGUUUGAGCAUGUCAUUUCAAUUUUAUUUUGUUAAUUAUUAUGUGUGAAACGGGUUCUAUGUUAGAGUGGAAGGUGCCAUUGUGAUUUAUAAUUUAAAGAGUCAAUUAAUCUAUCUUCAGGGUGUUUAAUAAAAAGUUUUUUGGGUGUCAAUUAGUGGAAAAUUAUUUUCAAGAACAUCAAUCAGCUCAUUUAAAGAUUAAAAAUUAAGGCCAGAGAAAUUCUUUUGCUUUCUCUUUUCUGGGUAGGUUUUGUUUAACUAUUCUAUCUUUUUCUCUUCCUAUAGGGAGAUGCUCUUUUACAGGAAAAGGUGGACCCAUUUUCACUUGUUGCUGAUGAAAUCUCACUUGUUUCAAAGAGAUUGCGUUCAUCUGCAGUUGCUAAGGUAUUUGAUUGUUAUUUCUCGUCUUUUGGCUGUCUCAUAUGUAGAUAUGCUCGGACGGGGUAAAAGAAAGCAAUGACUUGUUACAAUUAAAACUUGGAUUCCUAUGUCAUCUAGGUCCCUGAGCUUGCCUCAGCUGCUGGAUAUUUAUUCAAAGAGGGGGUUGAAGGAAAGAGGACAUGUUCCACGGUAAUUAGAAUAAUGCUAUUUUUUUUAUGUUGCUGUGGUUCAAUAUGGUUUUAGAAACCUAUAGCAAUCAUUUCCUUGAUUGUCAGUUCCAUUGAUGCUUCUUCUAGUUGCUAGAGGAAACCUUCCACCCUUGAGCUAUGAUGCUGUCAUAAUAUAUAGCCUUUCUGUGCGUCUCAUUUACAUGGUUAGAUUCUUCAUACUUAACUUAUAAUUAAACUGUACUGCAUAUAGUUAUAAACAACGUUCAUUAUUUUGUUCCUUUAUCUCCAACCUAAAGAAAUUGAGAGAUGUCCGGUAUUUGAGGUUCCCACCUCGAGGUGCAUCUCCCUUGGUCAUUUGACAUUUGCUUCCAACCCUUCUAUUUGUGUUCUACUGCCUUUCAAUGAGCUAAAAAGGAAAGUUUUAUGCAGGUCUUGUUGUUGAUGGCUACGGCUAUGGAUAUACAUAGAUCUGAGUCACCUUUAAAUUGCAUUGGAAAUACAUUGAGAAUAAUUGAACUGCGUAGGAGACAGCAACUUAUUGCUGAAAUAACCGAGAUGAUCCAUGUUAGUUCUUCACAAAAUUCUGAUUUUUGCUAUGGUAGUUGCUCCCAUGUCAAGAAACAUUUUUAAUAUCCAUUGGUAGACUAAUUUAAUAAUCUUGUGAUCUUAGGUGGCUAGCCUUAUUCAUGAUGAUGUCUUGGAUGAUGCAGAUACAAGACGUGGUAUUGGUUCAUUAAAUUCUGUGGUUGGAAAUAAGGUGACUAUACACUUCUUUUAUAAUUUUUCGAUUUAUACAAGUCAUUGAUAAACUUCUAGGUUGAAAAUUCUACCUGAUUUAUGGAACAAAAUUUCUUAUGGUACUCUUCGCAAAUAAGCAUGUCUUAAUACAGUAUUUGAAGGUGAACGACACUAGUAGUUGGCAUAAGAAUAAUGCAAUUUGUAAGGGUGUAGGUCUGUGAUGUAGUUCUAAGAAUAGGUGAAUUCUACUGCUCUACUUAACUGUUCCACUCUAGCCCUUGCUUGGUUCCACAGCAAAGCUUUGACAGCAUGGCUUUGUACCCUUGACAUUCUUUUAGAGGUUAACUGGUUGAUCUAGAUCUAGGGGAAAAAUGUGCACCUAGUCAUCUUAUUGAGUUUUUCAGGCAGGGAGAUACUAAUAUAGGCAUCAGAUAUUGAUCCCAAUUCUAAUAAACCUUUGCAAAUUGACAACAAAAUAAAAACAUCUUAUGUUAAUUGAAAUGCAAUUAUUAUUUUACUAUUCAUUCAUGUUUAUUUAUCUAUAUGAUGCAGUUAGCAGUGUUAGCAGGAGAUUUUCUGCUUUUUCGAGCUUUAGGGGCACUUGCUUCCUUAAAAAAUACAGUGGUAUGUGUUUACAUAUAAUCUAUCUGCAUAUAUGUAUUUAAAGAUGGUUAUAUAUGCAAAUGUAUGAUUUUGAGGGAGGAAAAUACGGUCUUCUAAAACCUAAUCCUUGAUUUUCCUCUUUAUGGGAAUGGAUUGAAGUAGAAGCCUUCUUCAAUGCUUUGACCAAUGACAUUUGAUGUCGAGAAAAUGCUGUGACAUCCAAUGUCUUUUUUUGAAUCAAUUCUUCAGCUGUGUAUCUUCUUAUUCGUGGUUGGCCCUUCCUGCCUUUGUAUCUUCUUAUGCAUAGUGGCCAUAUUGUAGGCUGCAAUUGCUCCGCUUUGUUUGUAUACAUUUUUUGGUCUGCUGCCCAAGGCUAAUUAUGUGGUGUAAAACUGACAGUACACACCGACACUUCAUUAGACAGCCAAACUUAAAUAUGGCCUUGUAAGAGUAUCUGAUUCUUUUACAUCAUUAUUACUGUCUAUUGUCCAUUGAUUCUGAUAUUGUAUUAAUUUGUAGAAAUCGUGGGCAUUCAUCUAGUUGUUCACAUUAUGUUUCAAACCAUUAUAUGUGCUGCAGGUUGUAUCGCUACUAGUAACAGCAGUAGAGAAUCUUGUUACUGGUGAAACCAUGCAAAUGGCAGCAACAAUUGAGCAGCACUGUAGGUAUGAUUGUUUUUUUGCCCCACUUCUGUGCUUAUCCCUGCAAAUUAAACCAUACCUGUGAUUAAAGAGAAAAAUAUUGUGGAUAUGCUUGCCCUUGACUUGGCUCAGACAGCCAAAGAAAACCUGUUUGGCUAGUUGUCUGCUGUAGAUUAAACUGGCUAAAUUGCACAAAAGUCGCAGUGAGUUAUCAUCCAUCAGGUUUGUAGAACUUGAUAAAUCUUGUCCUUGCAAAAGGCUUAAAUUUUACUUAACAAUAUAAUGGUUCAACCAUUGUUAAAUGAAUGGCUGCAUCAGUGACUCACAACCAAAUUAAUGUAUGUCAUUUUAAAGAACGUUAGGAUGCUUUGUAGUUUGGUGUUUUCCAACAUUUAUUUGAAUCUGUGCCAUUCUUUGGCCUUUUCUUUUGGGUUGCAAAUGUGGCUUAAAUUUACACAUACAGACCUUCCGGGAAACUUGUAGCUAUGUAUGAAUAAAUGGUUGGCAUGCAGAGCACCCCGCUUACACCUUCAUGUGUGUAUUUAUUUGUGCAUAAUAAUUAUAAUUUUGUUCACAUCUACAUUUGAUUCAUAGCAGCAUGGAGUAUUAUAUGCAAAAGACAUAUUACAAAACUGCAUCAUUGAUCUCGAACAGCUGCAAGGCUAUUGCCCUUCUAUCCGACCAAACACCUGGAGUUGCAAUGUUGGCUUUUGAAUAUGGCAAAAAUUUGGUUUGUAAAUUUCCUAAACUCAUCAUCUUACCCGAUAAGAAAUUUAUUAUAAGUGGCACAAUAAUGGAAUCUUCUUUAGUUUAUGGCCAAUAUUCCUUUAACAAAAAAUUCUGUCAUCUUACUAUGUUUACCAAGAUUCAUGUUUUACAGCAUGCAUUUUUUUUUUGGUUCACCAUCUCCUGAUUCUUUAAAUUCCUUUCCCAGGGAUUGGCAUAUCAAUUCAUAGACGAUAUUCUCGAUUUCACAGGCACAUCAGCUUCCCUUGGAAAGGGUUCUUUAUCUGACAUACGGCAGGUAAUUCAUCUUCCCUUACUGUGCUAUCUCUCAGUUCCUGAAAAUAUUAGAUUGUCAUAGGCUUAAAAGCUUUAAACAUAAACAUUUUUAGCCUUAUUAGGCUCUGCAUCUGUAUUUUGACAACUCAAGCAGCCGUUAAUCAUUUUCUUUUGUACAAAGGAGGCCACAGCCCGGAAUAAAAGAAGAGAGAGAUUACUGGUGCUGAGAUUUGAACCCUAAACUUGGGGAUGCCACCUUUUAAGAGUGACUGCAUGAACUAACUUAACUAAAUUCCUGAUUCAACCAUUAAUCAUCUUUGCUUGUUCGUUUAAGCCUUCUGAGUUUGGUUUGGAAGGAAUAUAAACAACCAUGUGUGGAGAUCAUUCCAUUUUGUCGAAACCCUUUUUCAUAGUGCAUCCAUUGAUGAAUGUAUUUGGUUUUUUUUGCCUGCCAGAAUCAUGUUUGCAUAAUUUAUCAUAUAGUAUAUAUUUUUGCAGGGAAUCAUAACUGCUCCUAUAUUAUUUGCCAUGGAAGAGUUUCCUCAGUUGCAAGCUGUCAUUGAGCAGGGCUUCAACAACCCUGCCAAUGUCGAUACUGUAAGUUUGAAUUUACAACCUGAUGCCACUUAAAGCAAACUGGUGAAUAUGCAUUUACUUUUGUCAAAUUUUAUACUAUGAUUUUGAGAACACAGGCUCUUGAGUACCUAUGGAAAAGCCAUGGAAUACAAAGGACGAGAGAGCUAGCAACAAAGCAUGCUAAUCUUGCUGCUGCAGCCAUUGAUUCUCUGCCUGAAAGCAGCAGCAUGGAUGUAAGGUUUUCAUUGCAAGCAUACGACAAAAAUUUUCUUAUCAAUUUUGUUAUACUUGAUCAAUAAUUAUAGUUUUACAAUUGGUUUGAGAGAUUUGUGCGCUGCAAUGAUUUUUUUUUAUAACUUGCUUUCAGAAACAAUAAAUCUUAUAUUAAAUUAGGGGAAUUGAAACUUUAAAAUCAAGCAUUUCAUUAAGCAGAUAAGAUAAAAAUUAAUAAAAAUUAUAAUAAUAAUAUUUAAAUAUUACAUUUUGUUUAAUUAAAUUGAGGUAUGUUCGUUUUGACAUUAAAACUUAAAGUUCUUUUGAUUUUUAUAAUGAAAAUAGUAAAAUAAUUUUAUGUGAGCUUUCUUUAUUUGAUAUGCAUUGUUAACUGUUGUAUCAAUGAAAUACAAUAGUGAAAUGAUUGAAUUGGGGGUACUCCAAUGUGAUACAAGUAAAAAAGUAAACUACGAAGAAAAUAUAAUAUCGCUUGCUUUAUUUAUUGAAAAUAUUAAUCUUUAUAAGAUGAUAAGUAUAUCUACUUUGUUAUUAAAAUUUAUCAUCUUAUAUUAAUAAUUUAAUAUUGAGAUGGAGAUGAAAAGUUUUUUUUUUAUGAGACUUUUCAAGACAAUUAUUUACGGGAUUUACAAUUUUUACUUUUUGAAUCAAAUUAUUUAAAUAACAAAAAAUUAUUAUUUUUUUAAUAUUGUAAUAUAAAUUUUUUUUCAUAAAAUACAUAUAUUCAAAUAUAAAUGAUAAAAUAAUUAAAGUAAAAAUAAAAUUAUAUAUUUUUAAUAAUGAAUGAUAAUUUAAUUAAUUUAUAUUUUAUUAUAUUUUUAAGUAUUAUUCAAUUUAUAUCUUUAAAUUAGAAAAAAAUUUUCAUCAUUUUGUCCCAGGUAAAAUUGGUUUUUUUUUUCAUCUAAUUUGUUGGUUGUUUUAAGUUUGGUUUUGAUGUGAUUUAAAGUCUUGAAUCAGGUGAUUCUUUUCAGUUUAGCAUUUGAUCUUCUGACAGUUUACAGUUGUACCAUAUUGUACAUGUUGAUGAAUUGAAUAAAUAAUUUUGUUAAAGGGUCUCUGUUUAAUGAAAAGACGUUCUUUUUUUAAUGUCAAUAUAAUUGAAACUUAGAUUAAGUUUUAGUUAAACCAGAAUGAUUGAUCUUGGAUAGAACUUAGAUCAAAGUUGAUAGCUUUAGUGCUGCUUUAGCCAAGAUUUUACACUUAACAUACUUAAUUCAACAUUAAUUUUUGCAAUUCUUUGAGAGUGGAAAAUUAAGAAAGUAUGUAGCUGAAGUAUUGGAUGAAAAGAUUAAGUGGUUAAAUUUAUUGAUGAUAUGAUUAUUUAGGUGUCAAUUAGGGCUCUUUCUUGGUAUUAUGUCAUUGUUCGAUUUGGUUUCUUGCAAAAAAUUUCAUUUCCGGAGGAAGAAGUUAAUGCCACUGGUAUUAAUUGAAGUUGUUUGAGGUUUAAUUGAACCAAUGCAUGCAGUAUCCUAAUAAAUACUUCUGGUGUGAUAUUGUACUAAGGCUUGUGAGAUAAGUAGGCACUUGUGGAUAUUCCUAUUAAAUUAACAAGUUAUGAAUUAUACUAUUUUUUAUUCUUUUUAGACAAAUAAAAUUUUUUAAAAUUUUUAUUUAACAUGUUUAUGUUAUUUUUAUUUUAAAUGAAAAUUAGCCAGUAAAAAUAUAUAAAAAAAGAAUAUAGUAAUUACUAUUAUUAUUAAAAUUUUUUAAUUUUUUAAUUCAAAAAUGACAAUAAUUCAAUCUCUAUAAAUCAAAACGAUGAUCAUAUUAUAACUUAACUGUUAUAUGUAUUUUAUAUAUGCUUUAAAAAUGUAAACUAAAUAAUAUUAAUUUAUGUAUUUAUAAAUAUUUAAAUAAAUAAAAUUAAUUCGUGAGUCAAGAGCUAGUAUAAUAAUAAGAUAAAAGCAGCCAAAGGUUUUUUUCUUCACGUGGCUCCUGGCUAAAGCUGCGCUUCGUCAUUCCAGAAAAUUUAAAAAAAAAAAAAAAGAGUUGUUUUAAUUCGUGUGUAGACUUAUGCUUUCUGCACACAUUAACCAAAGUUGGUUUGGCUGCUUCUGAUCAUAACCAAAGAUUUUCUCUGAAUAAAAAAUUGUUCAUUUUUCUGGGUUUUUCUUCUGCUUGGAUUACUGCUAAAGUAGUAUUUAGAGAGAGACUGAGAGAGAGGUGAGGAUGUUGUUUUGUCGGGGAUUUUCUCGGAUUUCUACAACUCCCAGAAAGAGCUUGUUUGGUUUCAUUCUCUCUCGUUCAACUGACCCUUCUCAAUCCCUUCCUUCUAAUCAAUAUCUUUACUCUACUAUAAAGGUAAUGCCUUGAUUCUUAUCUUUUCUUUUUCCUUAGCUCUUAAAACGCAGGAAAAAAAAAUGUGAGUCUCAGUUCCCCUUAAUUUUUUAGUUGUUUUAAAGAUUUCUUUCCAUUUUUUAAAAAUUUUUCUGGGUUUUUGUUUAUUGUUCAUUUUUUUUUUUCAUUAGUAAGAGUUCAUCUAUUUCUUCUCCGUUGGUAAAGCUAACUGGGAAAUGGUUCAGGCAUUCUGUUUGAUAAAAGGGCACAUUUUUUUUUUUCUGUUGGGUUGUGUUUGUUUGUUGCUUUAUUGCUUUAUCCUUGCCUUGGGUUUUUUUUAAGUCCUUAAAAGCAAGUUUUGGGUGCACAAUUGAAAUGCAACGGUGAACGGUGUUGUGACUAUGCCCGGCAUGAAUUAAUUCGGUGGUCAAAGCUACUUCUUUUAGUCAAAGUAAAGUUGGUGAAGUGAAUUUGUAGAUUGAUAAGAAUCACCAUUGUCCAACGGGUUAUAUGAUGACUGAAUCAAAUGAGCCGCCAAGAAGAUGCCUGGGAAAGGACUAUAGCUAUGUUCAUGGAUUUUUGUAUGAUAAUAGUCGAUAGAUAUUUUACAAUCUCUCUUUCUUUCUUUCUUUCUUUAGCCCAAUUUUUUUUUUAAUGAAAUGUAUGUGAUAGGAAAGAGUGAUUGUAAAUCUUGUAUGUACUGAUCAUUUAUCUUUUUUGUUGUUAUUGUGUCUGGGGAUUAGUAGGUUUGUGGUGGUAAAAAAUCUUUAUCUUGGAGUUUGCCUUCAUUGCUUGGCCUUGGACGGCAAAUUCAUCAGAGCAGCUACCUAGUAGAGGUUAUCAUUUCAUUAUUCAUUCUCCUAAAUUUCUGAGUUUUUUUUUUUUUUUUACCUUUGUUUAAUUUCUCCAUAUAGGACAAGAGACAUGGUUGCCCAGGGAACAGAAUUUCUAUAGUUAGUUUCUACAAAGUAAUCCACAAGUGUGUUAACAUUUUUAAUGUUAAAAGAUGAAACAAGUUCUACAACUUCAGCCAUAAGUUGAUUGCUUUCCCAUGUGUAUUGUUUGUUAUUGUUAAUUGUUGGUUCCCAUGAUCUCUAAGAGCUACUAGUUUGUUUAUCUCCCCUCUUUCUCUCUCUCCUCCUUUUCACCCUUAUUUUAUCUUGUCUUUAAUAUUGAGAGGGCAAGACAUUUCCUUCAGGAACAACUUGACCCUUUUUCACUUGUCGGUAAUAGGUUGCGGAGUAUGGUUGUUGCUGAGGUAUCCCACUGUUCUUUUUCAUGUCUCUGAAUGAAAUUUAUUACAUUUCCUUAUGUGAGAAAGCAAUAACGUGAUGAAAAUUGCAUAUUCAUCUCAUACAGGUUCUAAAACUUGCUUCAGCUGCUGAGUACUUCUUCAAAAUGGAGGUGGAAGGAAAGAGAUUUCGUCCUACGGUAAUGUAUUCUUUCCCAUAUGGUAACCUUGAGGUUCCUCGUCUUCUUAUUGCAGUUUUUCGUAAUUUUGAUGGGUUAUGGCAAUUGGUGUUUUUACCGUGGGCUCAGUUAUUGCUUCUAGGUUGCAAUAGGCAAGGGGACCAUCCAAAAAUUUUUAGAUGAACUACCCUUGUAGCAUGCCAUAGGCACAGUUUUGUUCUUGACUCAUUCCAAAAAAACCACUUGACUGAGGUGUAAACUUAAUCUCUGUUACUUUUCAUCUGGGAAAUUAUAAACCAUUCUCAGACUAACCUCGUUUUGAAAUUAUAAUUAUGAUUACUUUCUAAAAUGGUUAUUGUAUAUGUUCCAUGCUGGUUUUGCUUUUGAUCGCUACAGCUUUGAAUGUUCAUAUACCUGACCCAACUGUUGGUGGUGUAGGAGAUACCUUGAAAACUGAUUUACGUACAAGAUAGCAGUCUAUAGCUGAGAUCACAGAGAUGAUCCAUGUCAGUUCCUCUUUUUUUAAGUUUCGUUUAUCAUAUGUGUUGUAUGUACUGAAGCUUCUUCACAACUCCCUUUAGUCUAAUACAAUCAUUCCCUCAUCUAGGUUGCAAGCCUCCUCCAUGAUGAUAUCUUGGAUGAUGCAGAUAAAAGACGUGGUAUUGGUUCAUUGAAUGCUGUAAUGGGCAAUAAGGUACUCUUCUUUUCUAGUUCUCUUGCAGCAGGCAGAAGAAGUUUGUGGCCUAAGUAAUUGCUAAACUUUUACUGCUUGUUUAUGAUGCAGUUGGCUGUAUUAGCUGGAGAUUUUCUGCUUUCUCGAGCUUGUGUGGCCCUUGCUGCUUUAAAAAACACGAGGUGCUUCUAAUUUUUUAUUAUUAUUGCAUCAUUUGUGUGAUGAAUUUGGCCAAUGUAACUAUAUAUUGAAAAUUAGUUGCAUAUAUGGCUGUAGGUUGUAUCAUUACUAGCAACAGUUGUGGAGCAUCUGGUUACUGGUGAAACCAUGCAAAUGACCACUUCAUCUGAACAACGUUGUAGGUAUACUGGUCUACAACUCUGCAGCAAUAUUUCUUCAUAUCAUCACCAUGUUUUGCCACUUUCUAACUGCUUUUGAUUUAAACACUUGGAUGUCCAGCAAGGUGUAGGCCCUGUGAUAGCCAUCACGGUAGUGGCGGGCUAGAUACAUGAUUAGCAUGUAUAUAUGAUGGAAAGUUAUCUCAUCCACCACUACUGGAGUUUUAAACUCCACCAGUGGGAUUAGCAGAGUGACACAUACCCCUGUAGGGCAUACUAAAAAUAAUUAAAAAAUUAAUAUAAUGAAAAAGAAUACACUUGUCAGUCUCUUAAUCCCACCAGUGGAGAUAAAAUUUCAGAUUUGGUGUAUAGAAAAUGGAGUUAUAAAUGAUUUCAUAUGUUUAUGCUGAUCUUUUCUUGAGUUAUUAAAUUAAUGAUAGUUACAGCUUAUUGUAGUCUAAUGCUACUGCUUGGCAACUUGAACAUUUUAGAAAUUUUCUCUCAUUAGCCACAUGUUUGCAUGGUAACCUGUAAAUGGUACUAACUUUGUUGACUCAGUGGUUAUCUUUCAGUACAAGCUGUUUAUAUUUGUAGAUAACACCUAGUUUCUAAGCUAUAGAUUGUUAUGGAUUUUGUAAGCAGCAUUCUAUAGAUUAUUUGUGUGUCUUAUUAUGCGUUUCCAUGCUAAUGAUUGCCAAUGGUUAACUCUGUCUUGUCCUGAUUUGAAUUUUAAGGAUAAUUGCUUGUAGUUAACUGAAGUGAGAAUAAUUUUUCAUGAUGCAGCAUGGAAUAUUACCUGCAAAAGACAUACUACACGACUGCUUCCUUGAUUUCAAACAGUUGCAAGGCAAUUGCACUUCUUGCUGGGCAAAGUGCUGAAGUUGCAAUGUUGGCCUUUGACUAUGGCAUAAUCUGGUUUGUAAUUUUGUUUAUUUUUUUCUUAUCUUGAACUCAUCAUAAAUUGCAAGAUCUGUUGGGGGAUAUUUUUUAAGAUUAGAGCACAUGUUUCCCUAAGAAAUAGACUUGAAUGAACCUUGGCCCUGCAAAACCUCUAAGUGAUUAGAACCCUGUUUAGGUGAUAGAAAAUUGGUGUUAAUAUGAUAAUCAUUAUAAAGCCCUAACUCCUUUCUUCUUCUCUAUAAAUAUAAAACCCUAACUCCUAAACUAAUUAAUAAGUAAAUUAGUUUAGAAGUUGCCUUUGGAAUGAAGAGAAGCGCCAUAAAAUUUGAUAUGACCUGUUAUGCUAGUUUCAGAUAUGGCCAGCUAAGAGGACAAGCAAAUAAAUAGAUCUGAAGAUAGACUAAUCCUAUAACAACUCAUUCACAUUUUUAUUGUCCUCUUUUGCAUAAUAAACCUUUGUUUACUUGAUACUAUUUGAUUGAUUUUCUAAGUCAGAAUGGAUGGUUGUGGCUCAAUGGUUUUUGUUGCAAGUGCCAACUUGCUUCUGAUUACAACAUGGUUCACCAAAUGUGAAGUUGUCACUUUGUGCAAAAGUGUAAUACUGGAUAAUUUUAAAGCCAUAGAAUACCAUAUAUUUAAUAAAACUUGUGGAGUGAUUAUGGAGCAACUGAGAUUUAAGUAUUCUUAGCUGUAAGCUGUAGAACAAUCAGCAUAAUAUUUGAUGUCUUUUAUCCAUGUUACAUCGACUACAUUGUUCUAUUUUAUGUGUUGUUGUUUGGUCUAACUAUCUAUUUUUUCUAUUGCCUUUUCUAGGGAUUGACAUUUCAAUUGAUAGAUGAUGUUCUUGAUUUCACAGGCACAUCAGCAUCCCUUGGAAAGGGUUCUCUAUCUGACAUCCAGCAUGUAAUUUUCUAUCUUUGAUGUCUUAAGCAAAUGUUAAAUGUCUGUAAGCUAGUAAUAGCUUAUGGAAGCAUAUAAUUGUAAUCCACAUAGGCAGGCAGAGUUGUAUAAUAGUUCUUCUAUAUAAUCUAUUCAAACUCCCUUGUCAACUACUUUUUUUUGUUUUCUUUUCAGUUGUCUACUCUCUAAAGUGUACAAAGGAAGAACCUUACUUUUAUUUUUUGGCCAAGUUUUUCUUACUGACUUUUCACAAGGGCUUUCUUUUUAGUUUAUACUAGGUUAACAAGAUGCUUUUAAAUGGCAUACAUAAUGAUGAAUACAUCAGUUCAUCACAAUCAUCCGGUGUUGCAGGGAAUUGUAACAGCUCCAAUAUUGUUUGCCAUGGAAGAAUUUCCCCAGUUACAUGCUGGUGUUUAUCAAGGUUUUGACAACCCUGAAAACAUUGACAUUGUAAGUAUAAGUAAUUUACAUUUUAAGCAUUAUAUGUGUUUGCUGAUGUUAAUCUUCUAUUUCUAUGUUGCUUUGGUCUCUGUAUACAAUUUAUGAAUUUACCAACUUUUCCUUCUUAAGGUAUUCUUUUAGUCUUCACACGAUCAAUGAUGAAGAGAGUAUAUAACUUGUGUGGUUUUAAGCGACCACCAUCCUUUUAACUUUUUUACUUGGUUACAAAUUUGACUUGCAGAGUCAUUAAACUUGUGCUUUUUACAUUUAACUAUGUUUGUGCAUCUAUAUGAACCUUUAUUUUGUCAAACUCACUUUAGUUGAUCUGUAUCUUAAACAUAUAGGCCCUUGAGUACCUUGGGAAGAGUAAUGGAAUACAGAGGACAAGAGAGCUAGCAAUGAAGCAUGCUAACCUUGCUGCGACAGCAAUUGGUUCUCUACUGGAGAGCAAUGAUGAGAACGUAAGAAAGUCAAGGCGGGCGCUAGUAGACCUCACUCAAAGAGUAAUUACAAGAAACAAGUGGCAUAGUUGAUAAGACUAUCAACUUUUACCAAUUCAUGGUGCCAGCGGUUUUGCUUAGUGUUUUAAUCAUUGUUCCUUCAAGGUGAGUUGAAAUCUGCCCUCAUGUUUUCAACUGUUACAAAGUUUUUAAUUACUUUUUUGUAAAUGAUAGUUUCUGGGCUAAGACAGUGCACUAGUAUUAUCAGAUUAUGUUGAAUUGCUGUAUUUAUAUUUAGUUAUAACCUGCAAAUUGCUUUUACUAUUUCUGGGCUAAGACAGUGUACUAGAAUUAUCGGAUUAUGUUGAAUUGCAAUAUCUAUAGUUAGUUAUAACCUGCAAAUUGCUUUUACUACCCAGAGUUAAUUUCAAAUACUAACUUCUUGAUUGAUUUUCUGGUUACUGGGUCGUCCAGAUGGAGUAGAAUGUAGGCAUCUUUGCAAAUCAUCAAACAAGCAUACAAAAUUCUUGCAUCUUACCAUAUCUACCAAAUUAACAGUUACAGAUAAUUCUUGCACAUUCCCAUGCUUUUUAACCCUUUAUCAGUGCCCUCAAUCCUUCGAGUCCAAGGACUCCUUGUUUGUUCCAAGCUUCCCAGAAAGGUUCCAAAAUUCCCUGCAUCAUCGACUAGUUGAAGAAGACAUCUUUGGAGAUGAAUGCACCCCAUGCAUCCUACAUCAUAUAGCAUCGUAUUAAAGCUUUGGUUUAGACUAUGGUCACAAUGAGUCACUUUUGUUUCUUCUUUUAAAAUUUAUUGGAAGGGAAAACCCUCUUUGGAUUUCUGCAAACUUUUUCAUGGUGCAGAAGAGAUGCAAGAAAAGGCUAUUCACUAGAAAGUUUACCUGGAGUAUGGAAAAGGCCUUCGCUGCCACAUAUUUUUGUGAUAGUGUUGCACCUCUUUGUUGCAGUUUGUCUGGGUGAAGACAUAGCCUGGCUUUCUGGUAAGCUUUUUUCACUUGUGAGCUUUCUAUAAGGCUCGUUACAGGGGUCAUGUGCCAGCCGCUAUUGGGCCACAGAAUCUGAAUUCAUUUUUCAAUAAACCAAUUAAAAAAAUCCAUUCGUAUGUCGCCUGCAAAUCAAUGAAAUCCUUGAACACGGAAAAGGUUAAUAAUGUCUUACAUGAUGAAGUGUUGAAAGGAGCAAUCGAAUGUUAUUUUCCUUGCCAGAUGACCAAAGGUUCACAUCUUCAUCAAAAACCCCCAUUUUAAUCUGUAGUUUGCAUCAAAGGAAAAUGUCAACACAUUGAUCAAAUCUUGUUCAUAAAUUAAUGAAUAGAAAGAAGCUACAAUGAUGACUAUGCCUAGAUUUAAGAUGUUGGAAAUAUAUAUAUAUAUAUAUAUAUAAUAUGUGUGUGUGUGUGUAUGUAUUUGUGUAUGUAUUUAUGUAUGUAUAUAGUAGAUGCUGUUCCUGAUUUGUCUAAAAAAUCAAACUGGCCAGUGAGUCGUGAAACUUAAACAUCACAACAAGGUUCUAGCUUACAUGUUCUUCUGAUCUCUCCUUUUCUUCUUCUGCUUUCGAUUUCUUCUGUUCUUCUUCCUGCAAAUUGAGGAAAAGAUAUUACUCAACAUUGUGUUGCUUGUGAAAAGGAAAAAGGCAAAAGACUCUUUACCAUUGGAGAUUGUUGCAUUGUUCCAUGGCCAUCCAUUCGCCGGUCAAAGGACUCAUUUGCAUUAUACCUGGCUGCAAACCAUAUAUAAAGCUCUGUUACUUAUCCAGCCAAUUGAGCUUCAUAAUAAAAUUUUGCUGAUCAAAUUCAAAUUUACAAUCUCACCUUCUGUUCCAAUUGGCUGGUCUUUUUCAUGUUCCCUUUCAGAACUUUGAGUAUUGUAGCUCUCCUUCGCCCAAGCAAUUGCUUCAUCAAUUAAAACUGCUUCACCCGUACCCUCUCUAAGAUCAGAAUUGAUCUCAAUAACAUAAGAGCUCAUAACUUCAUCUUCAUCAUCAUCUUCUUCUUCUUCUUGUUGCAUUGAAUCAUUUCGGACUCCAGCUCUAGCCUCAGGCUCUUGACAAAGUGAAGAGGCAGGGGAUGAAGGGGAGUUAAACUCCAGACCAUCAGCUGAUAUUUUGACACUUCGAAAAGAAGGGGGUUCCAAGCUAAUGAUUUCCGGGGAACAGGCACGUCGACAGAAACCAUGAUAUGAUGAGCUUCUCGUCAAGUUGUCGACAUUGUAUUGAUUUUCCAUGUAAAAAUUUUCGUUAUAGAAAGAACGAGUUCUUGGAUAUGCUGGCAUCCCUUGUUGCUUUGCUGGUUCUUGAACUGCCGCCAUUGUUGUCGAGUUCCAUCUGCAUGGAACAUUGAUUGGCCUGCACCACCAAAAUUUGUCUAAUUGAUAAAGAUUUUGGGUGAUAAAACCUAACGUAAUUGUUGGAAACUAACGACAGGGUUUUAAUAAUUUUCACUUUUUUACCCCCAAAGGCAAAAUCUUAAGAUAAUGCUGUUUAAGUGAAGUUUUGAAAACUUUUAUUAAAAUGUAUUAAAGAAAGGAAAGGAUCCGCAACUUAAAAUGUAGCAGAAGUUUUACUUUAUUUAAGCGUAAAUAAUGUGCUUUUGUUUAAAUCUAUUAUUAAUAUUUAUUUAAAUCAUUUUUAUUUUUAAUUAAAUUUUAUUUAUUUUCAUAUUUAUUUUAAAAUCAUUAAAUAUCAACCAUGAAUUUACAUGAAAAUACAUUAUUGACCAUUAUAUAAAGGAGUGAAAAUAUCCAUUAUUUUUAAAAUUGAUAAAUUAAAAAACUUUAUUGUAUAAAUCAAAUAUAUAAAUUUUUUAAAAAUUUAAUAAAAUUUAAUAUAUUUUUUUAUAUGUAUUUUUUUAACAAUUUUGACAGAAUUUUGAACCCAUUAAAUUUAAAUUAUUAACCACAGUUUUAAUAAUUUUUAAUAAAUUAUUGAUUAAUUAAAAUUUUUUAUUAAAUUAAUCUAUAAAAUUUUCACUAAUUUUAUCAUGAGAAGAAAGAAUAUGCCGGCCGAAGAGAGGUUAGGAUCAUAAACGUCAAAUCAACACGACAGAAUCAAAAACAGUUGAAACUUGAAAACAGUCAAACAUAUUUUUUUUUCUUAAAGUUAAAGUAGACUGAUUACCUGAGCUUUGAAGCAAAAGACGACAAUCCGACGUCAUCACGGGCCACCGGUCGGAGAGGGCUCAGUACCUCCGAACUAAGCACCGACGAUGAAUUCGACUUGGACUUUGCCUUCGAGUUCGACCUUGAGCGUUCCCUGGACAGCCGGAGAUCAUCGUCCGACCCGAAAAUAUCACUGUAGAAUCCUUCCCCUCCUGCUGGAAUCCUAUAUGCAGACAAGCUCCGGCCACCCUUCAUCGAAUGAGACGAACUGAGCUCCAGUGGCCGGAAAACCUCUUCAUAAAAGGAUGCCGACUGGGUGACGUCGCUGGACAACUUCCGGCAUAGCACGCUCCGAGGUGGACCACCGAAGACGUCGGAAAAGUCAUCUAUGUCAAGGUUAUGAUCAACCAUCACCAUGUUGACGUGGUUCAAUGAAAAAAUGGUGUUUUCCACGGAUUUUCGACGUGGGAGAUGUUGGGCAGUUGACAUUCCCAUGCACAUCCACCAAGACUUGUCCAUUUAACUUGGAGAGCAAUUCUAUGGCAAAAGCUUUUAUAAAAAAAAAAAAAAAAAAAAGAGAUGAAGGUAUUUGAGUUCUGGGUUUUACAAACAAGAAAGAUUACUUAAAUAUAUAAAAAGAAAAGUGGCUUUUAGCAAGAAAAAGACGCUUGAAUUAUGGUUAAAGUGGUUUUUAAGAAAGAUGAUUUUGACUAGGAAAGAUGAUGACGAGGGAAUAUAUGGUGGACCGGAGAAUCAUCAAAGUUGACACGUACACACAACUUCUGCUUUACCUGGUAAAGUUUGUUUCUUUUGUUUGUGGUAUUUGAGUCCCACAUUGACAUUAUAUGUUAACUUUUUUCCUUUUUUUUUUUUCUUUUUUUUUUUUUUUUGUUGUGUUGUAACCUUUUGUAUUUUGAUCCAGAAAUAAAGGAGAAGGAAAAGGGUGACUUAAAUUUAUUAGGUAGGUGAGUUUUUUUUUUCUUAAUUUGCUUUUAUAAAAGAAAAAAAUAAAAUAUAUUCUAUGUUUGAGAUUGUUAAAAAUCAAAGUAUGUUCAUUAAAUUUUUUUUAUAAUAAUAUAUGCUUACCGACAUCAAAGAAAUUAAAGCAAACAUAAUAAUAUUUGGACUUUGCAGUUGGAGUCUUGGACUAUUAUUUUCCCUAAUAAAACCAAAUUUGGGGAUGAAGGAUUAUUGAUUGAAGUUGGAGCAUAAUUUAUUAAUAAAAAAAAAAAAAAAACCACAAUUUUUAUUCAAUGUCAAAAGUUAUUUUGUCAAUAUUUGAUUGCCCCAUGUAACGUUAAAAUCAUUGGGAACGAAAUGAUUGGAAGUAAAAGGAAUAAAAUUAAAAAAAAAAUCAUGUCAUUCAAUGCCUUUUUUUUUUAUAAAUUUUUAUAUCUUUCAUAUCUACAGUAUAUUUUUGGUUACCAGCAAUCAUAUCAUAUAUGCAUAUACAGUCAUACCACUAUUUUUGAAAUGAUUGAGAAAACGAUUAUUCUUUGGUCCCAUUUUAAGCAUUUAUCUUAUUUUUAAAAUGUCUCAAAAUGAAGUUAUUUUUUAUUUUAAAACAUUUUAUACUCUUACUUUUUUUAAUUUUUAUAUAAAAAUUGUUUAUCAAUAUUAUAUACAAUUUUAAUUUAUAAUAUUAAAUAUAUAAAAGUAAAUUUUUUUUUAAAUAUGCAUGAAAAUAAAAUAAUGAACAGUUAAGAUGAGAUGGAUGGAGUAUUUUUAUAUGCUUCGUGUGUGUUGAAAAGUUAGAGUAUCAAAUUAAUUAAUAGAGAGAAAGGAAAAAAAAAAAUAAAAAGAGAAAUAGUGGCUGAGAUUUGCCAAUGGUUCUUUGGCUUAGUGGUAAAAAGGAGAAUCUAAAAUUUUAAAAUCUUAGGUUCGAAUCUCAUUGUGUGGGUGUGUUUUUAAUUGUUAAAUUAAGUUAUAAUUUAUUAAUUAAUUAUUUAAUGAUUUAAUAAUUGAUUAUAUGAAUAUAAUACUUAAUUAUAAAUGUAACUUCAAAAAAAAAAAAAAAAUAGUGGUUGAGACUUGAGAGAGUAUUUUCCAUUAUGUAAUAUAAUUAAAAACAAAUUAAUCUUAAUUAAAGAUAUAAUUGAAUAUGGCUAUUUAGAAUCAAAGUUUUAGGCAAAUUCUUAAGUUUAUAUAUAUAUAUAUUCAAAUUACAGUAAUUUCUUCUUGUACAGAUUAAAUCAGACAAUUACUAAUAAUUAUGCAAAAUAGAAUGUUCAAUAAAAAAAUAUAAAUAAAACAAAAUGAUGAACUAAUUAAGAGAGAGGGGGGAUGAUAUCUGCUUUGAUAUCAUUAAAUAUAAAAUUUUUCAUCUUUUACCUAAUGAUAAAGAUUUAGUUUUGUAUAUUUUUACCCAAUGAACAAUGCAAAUCAAGAUGGAAGCUUUAAAAAAUAAAAACAAAAAUCUAGCAAUAAGAAAGUUAUGUCUUGAGUUUUGAAUGAAAAACUUGUAAACUUGUACAAGCAAUAACAUGGUACAUAAUUGAUCAAUUAUAUACACUAAUCCCACCCCAAACUUUUUCUAAAAUUUAAGAACAUUCAUAAUUGAUCUUUUUGUUAGGUUUUCAGCUUCCUCUUGAUGGGGGGAUUAGGGAACCAUCAACCCCCAAAAAAAGAAAGGUGUGAAAAUGGCCCAAAUUAGACCUAAUCAUAUGUAUUGAAGCAAAGGGACCCCAAAACCCUUUCAAAAAAAGUGUGAAAAUGCAGCAAAAUUAAAAUAAAAGGGUUAGCGUUAUGAAUGAUUUUUAAAUUAUAAUGAAAUGUUUAAUGUGAUACUUAAAUUAUAAAUUUAUUAAUUAAUAUAGUACUCUCUAUUAAUGUUACAAAUUUUAAAUGAUAAUAUGUGAUGAACUAACAACUUUUAAAAUAUUAUAUUAAUUGAUAGAUUUAUAAUUCAAAUAAAAUAUCAAAGAUUUUAAACUAUUAGUGACAUUAACCCAACCAAAAUACAUGACAGAGAGAGUUGAUGAGAUCAUUGAGAAGCAAACAAAACCAGUCGAGCAAUGCUAGCUUCAUUAAUCAAUACCAGAUCGUUCAAGUGUCACGUUAUUGAAAUGUACCAUACAUAACUCUUGUUAUCUGACUCCCCCAAAAUGCCAAAUGCAUUUAGACAUUUGCAGUUACCUGGCCCAUUAAUCCAACAAUGACAACACUGGAAAAUCUUUCUCUAACGUGGUAGCGUGCAUGGCAGACGACAGUUUUCAUGGAAAUUAUUUGUAGGUGAGUAGCAAAAUUUUUGACGGACCAAAAAAAAAGUUGUUGAUACUAUGAAUUCGUGGUAGAUAAUGACCCAUUUGGAUGGUUAUCAUUAGACCCUUUUGAUCAUUUCAUCUUUCUUGAAAAUUCGAAUGUUUAACGUUUGUGUAUUAUCAAACAGUUAAGCUUUGUUGAUUUCAAGCAACAACGUCGACCGGAUAUGUUCAUACCAUCUUAAACGAUUAAUUUUUAAUAUUUUUUUUAUAUGAAAGUCUGAGAAUGAGAAAUUUUUUUCUGAUUGAGUAGUAAAAAAAUUUUAAAUUUUGUUUGAUACACAUGAUCUAUUUGCACAGGUUUAUUUAUGUCACAUUAACUGAAUUUUAAAAAAUUAUUUUUCAUAAUCUUCGAACAAAUUCAAAUCCAAACAAUAAAAAGAAGAGCUUCAAAAGAGUUACGUUAGGGGGUUUAUAGUAAUUUUAUGGAGAAAUCAUUUCUCUAAUUAUUGCGUCUAUUUGUGGAAAUGGUUGAAGGUUAAACUAUAUCGCUUGAUGUAGCCUGGAUUAGAUAAAAAAAUGCAAUUAAAUUAAAAUUAUAAGGGUCAGGUGAGGCAAUGGAUGGCUGAUACCACAAUAGCAGACAAUGCAUGCUCUAAGUUGAUCGCAAUCAUAAGCUUUUUGCCUCAAAAACCUCUACUUUCCAACACAAGUCAUCAUCAAUCUUGAAACAAAACAUAAUUAUUAAUCACCACGAAAACACAGUCUGAUGUUGAAGAAAAAAAAAAACAAGGGUAAAAUGAAUAACCCCAUAAAAUGAUGAUACCAAUAUGAAUGUCUUAAUCUAUAGAAUAAUCCAAUUUACUCACCAACAAUACACCGAUUUGAUUUCAAUAUUGUGCUGGUGUUUUCCUGAACGUGUUGCCAAAUGGAGAAAAAAGAGAAGGUGAAAGUGGGAUAUGUUAGUAAUCAUAGCUAGAGAAAAACAAAUCAAUCGAUUUCUUUAAAUAAUGUACCAAAAUUUCAGUAAUCAAACAAACAGAAACCCCGAAAGAAAUGAGCAAAGAUGAAUAAAAUCUGUUUGAGUAGUUCAAGCUUAUUGGAUUCCAGGAACAGUAGUUGUUUCUGCUUCUAACAGCUUUCACCAUGAUUUUAAAUUGUUGAUCAGCAAAAGAAAGAUGAUAGAAUUUACCUGAUCAACUAGAAAACCCAGAGAUUUAAUAUGCUUGUCUCUAAUUUUUUCCAUAGCCAGCUGAGCUUGUGUUUCCAGGUUAUUAUGUUUGAAAUAAAUGGUUUCAUUAUAGUGAUACUGCGGUAUUAAUUUGGUUUUACAUCAAAUAAUGUUUGAAAUUAUUUGUGGGAAAAACAAAGAAAAAUAGUUAAAAACUUGAUGCUCCAAUUUUACUUAAAGAUAUUUUAAAAAUCUAUUAUGAUAUAUAAAUAAAUGUUUAAAUUCAAAUUUGUAAAGUAUAUAUUAUGAAAUAAAAUCGUUAAAAUUUUAAAUCAAAACAGAUAAAACCUCUUAAAUUAAAUAUAAAUUUUCACUUAAACAAAAAUCAAAUGUCAAAAUCUGAGCUCGUAGAAGAAAAGACCAUGUCUGAUGACCAACAUCUUUUUCUGCUCCCAAGAGGGACGAUAAAAAAAUUGGUUAAUUUUAAAUGUUUUCAAUAAAACAUUUAAGAUUAUUAAAAUUAAAAUUUUAAUAUUUUCUUAAUAACUCAUAUGAUUGUCAGCAACACUUUACAUUUUUUAGUUAUUAGUUUGGUGAGAAUCACACCAGUUGGGUCCCAAACAAAUUCUAAAUAAGAAAAUGAACAUUUUGAAUGUAAUUUUAUAAUUAAUUUUUUAUUUUUAAUAUAUUUUAAUAAAUAUAUCAUUUUAUUAAUUUUAUUUAUGAAAUUUAAAAAAUUAUUGUCAAUAUAUUUGAUAACUUUGUAAAUAUAAUAUUUUAAUUUAAUGUAACGAAGAUAUUUGCAAAUAAAAAAAACAGUUGCAAAAUUUUCCAAAGCAAGUAGAAACAUAGAUAUGGACCUUGUUUAAGGUUGAUACAGGAUGAUGAGGUUGAUACCCAAACAACUGUUGUAAAUUAGCACGUGAAGAUGCUACAAUGACAAAAUGUACAUACAUAUAAUGGCAAAUUAGCAAUAAGAGAAAAAAAAAUAGUCGGGAAAAUGUACUAAUCUAAACAGGACACUCAGGCCCAGCUAACAGGGUAAAGGAAUCUAAAUAUAACAAGGGAAAUAUGCGGGGACCUCAAAGGAAUCUAGACAUGGUUUGGUUCAUUGUAAACUUCCCAAUAUAUGAUCUAAGCAGCCUGUUGCAAAUAAAUAGGAUUGAUGAUGAAUGAAAUUAUAGGGAUGGGGUUGGUUUGUCCUUGAAAAAGAUGAGGGAGAAAAGGGUAUUUCAGAUCUUUCUGGAUCCAGGGACUAUGAUUUUUAUCCCAAAGAUCAGGUCUUCCGUUAGAUUCACGUCAAACUUGCAAUAAUAGUAUGAAAAUUUUAUGAUUUUAUUUUAUAAAAAUAUUUUUUAAAUUUAAAUUUAAAUCUUAAUUUAUAUAUCUUAGUAGAUUUUCGUUAAUACACUAAAAAGAAAAUAAACAGUAAAGUUUUUGGCGGAUGGAUGGGUCGGCCAUGAAGCAGGCAUGUUUCACAUGGGGCGUUUUCGACAUAAGAUACCCCUUUCAUUAUUUAUCCAAUCAAAUUGAUAAAGCAAGUGCGAGUCAAAGCCCCGUCAUUUUCUUGAACCAAGGUUCCUCCACCUUUUUUAUUUCUGCCUUUCAUCUUUCCAGAUUAUUUGGCUCCUUUCACCAAGGAGAUGCCUUCAUUGAGUAGUUGCAAACGACGAAGUGCUAUAUGUUAGAAUCAUAAUAUGAUUAACUUUAUUUGCAUCAACUAAUAAUGUACCAGUGACAGGUAAAGAGUGGAACAAUAUGAGUUUCCUUAAAACCAAAUCCUCUGCAAUCUCUGAAAUAUUGUUGGCCAGUUGUAACGCUGAUGAAUCCCUCGUGAGAAGCUUGAGUACUUCUCACAACGAAAUCUAGGAGGGACCAGAUCUUGUGGUCACAAAUUUAACUGAUUCACAUUCGUCUCUGAGCUGAUCCAGCAGGAAUUUCAUGAACUUCCGAAAAUCAAGACGCUUCACUGAUUUUCCAGAGUGAUUCCGUGGUCAUUUCAGAUAUAUUAUGACCACUUGGCUCUAUCUGCACCAAACCUGCUUUACUCAGUUUUAUUCUUGGAUAAAACUGAACCUGAAUUUCAAGCAUUUUUUUUUCAGCUCCUGCAUGUGCUUUCAAAGUGAACUUGCUAUAAAUGGUUCAUAUCAGUGUGUUUGACACUUCUCAUCAUUUCUGUGAUAUGAUACAUUAAGUUUGUUACGCCCAAAUUAUCUGAUCAACAGUUAAUCUAAUUAAGGUUUGGUUAAUACAGUUAUAUCUUUGGAUCGCUUAGAUAAUAUACACUUAAAACAUCAUAUCAUCUGCUCUUAAAAAAAUAACUUGUUUUUUGUCAAAAGAAUAACUCAUUUAAUAUUUUUCGACAUUUUGUCAAAACAAUUAUUUUGAAACUAAUUGUUUGACAUUCAAUUUAUCUAAAAUUAUUAAAUGCAAUUCAUAUUUAUUUGAAAACAUUAAAUGUGAUUGACAUCUAUUCACACGGACCUUUCUCAAAUUUCGCGUAUCUAUCCCAUCAACUAUCAAUUAUCAAUUGUCAAUCACUUUACUCUUUAUCACUGACCCUCAUCUCAUACAUAAAAUGAUAAAGAAACACAAGUAGAUAGGACAUUUGCAUACUUCAUACCUUACUCUAUCUUCUUUGAAGCUUUCCACACACACACCUCAUCAUUUUCUUCUUCACCUCACCAUUUUCUUAUUCUUCCUCGCCUUUCCUUAUUCGAAAUACUUCACUGACUUUAGCAUUAGAGUGAACCCAAAAAUAACAACUUUAAUGUCCUUUAACCGUGUUUUUUAGCCACAGGCUCAAGGUAUCUUCCCCUCAACCUUGUCUUAUUCUUUUUAAGCUUAGACUCCUAAAAACACCAUAACAAAGUUUAAAUUGAGCAGCUCUAAUUUAGACAUCAUAGGAUGUACAUGUAUCCAACUUCAUUACCAGCUCUUAAAAUGAAAUAUUAAUCUUGACUCAUAAAAAUUCUAAAGCUUUAAUGUAAGAAAUUGGUCAAACAAGGAUUAAAAUAUAGGAAGCUGUUACCAUACACUUAAAACCCAGCCCAAUGCACCCCCUGCCCAAUGAAGAGGAAGAAGAAGAAGAAGUAAAGUUUGGGACUAGCAUUUUCAAGCCAUUGAACUUCAAAGAGAAAGCUCCCUCAGCAAUACAAUUUGAAAUAUGGCAUCAGAACCAUACAUACAACUUUGGGUAUGCUUUAAGCCCAUUAAAGUUUCUUUUCGGCCUAAUAUCAAAACCCAUUAAAAUUUAGUAACAAAAGAAAAUGCCCAUAAAUAGUUUCGUGGAUGUUAAGAAAAAGAAAUAAUUUUAUCAUUUUUUUUUUGUUUAAAAAUUCUUAUCUAGUUUUUCCCCUCUCUUCCCAAGGAGUCCUUAGAGAUUAAAAGCUGAAAUCAAAUUUUCAAGAAGUUUGAAUUUUCAAUCUUCUUAUCAAAUUUUUUUUUAAAAAAAUUAUUUGAUUUUGUUUCAAGAUAAUAAUUAGAAAAUAAUAAAAUUUCUGUAUUUUUCUCGUUAUUUUUAAUAAAAAAAAUUUUCGUUAAUCAUAUUUCACAUAAACUUUUGUUAUGAAAGUUUCUUAAAAUUGCAUGAAGAAAAAAUAUAUUUGCUAUCGUAAAUUUUUGUAAGAGUAGAGGAAAAAAAAAGUAUCUGAAUAAGUGCCACGUGGCAAUAGUGCAAAGUCCUGACCCGUUACUAUUCGCGGGCGAGAUCUUCCCUAUAAAUGCCAUCCACCUUUCGUAAAAUUCCCUCCCGGUACCCUUAACGCUUUCUCUCUGCCCCUACCCUCCUCUCUCUGUAUCUCAAACUCAGAUUUCCAAAACAAAAAAUGAAGAACCAAAAUUCGCUUCAAAAUGGAAAUAAUGUUGAUGGUAAUUUAUUAGCCGCCGACAAUCGUGAUCGUGAUGGUGAUGGAUCGGCUCUGAUCUUCCUGGGAACCGGCUGCUCCAGUGCCGUCCCCAACGCAAUGUGCUUGAUCCAGCCCUCCGAUCCUCCCUGCCACGUAUGCUCCCAAUCCCUCUCUAUAUCUCCCGAGCAUAACCCUAAUUACAGGUCACCUCCUUUUCCCUUCUUUUUCUAAAAUUUAAUCGUGCAUACAAAUUUUUUUUAUAUCGCAGAUCUGAACUUUUCCGUGCAUUUUUUUUUUUGCACAAUGUGAUUAUUUUCGGUUUUGUUUCUUAAAAAAUUAGGUUUUUUUUAGCUUUGAUUUUGAAUCUUUUUCUUUCAGGUGCAAUACAUCUUUGCUUAUAGAUUACUGUUCGAGCAAUGGUAUGCACAAUUAUAUUAUAAUUGAUGUUGGGAAGACAUUUAGGGAGCAAGUUCUUCGAUGGUUUACUUUCCACAAGAUUCCUCGAAUCGAUUCGGUGAGUUUAAUUUUUUUUCCACAUUUAUUCCUCAUAAUUCUUUUUUUUUUUUUUUUUUUGGUAUUGUAGUAUCUUAUUAGAACAGUUAACAUUUAUAUUUGGUUUUAUCUGUUCUAUUAUUUUAUAGGAUUUAUAGCGAGUUUGUUGAUUUAUAUAAUGGCUUUGUGCAUUUUAUUAACUAUAAUCUCGUCUUUCUGUAUACGAGUGGAAUUGCAACUAGUACUAAUUUCUGUAUGAACUGCAGAUUAUUUUGACUCAUGAACAUGCUGAUGCAGUUCUUGGUCUGGAUGAUAUACGUGCUGUGCAGCCACAUAGUCCUACAAACGAUAUUGAUCCCACUGCCAUUUACCUAACUCAAUAUGCGAUGGAUAGGUAUAAUAUGAAUUUUUUAUUCUUGGGGUCAUUGUGCGUAUUGUUUUUGUAGCCUACAGAUUGCUAGUUAUGCUGAUACAUUAUCAAGUCACAUGUCAUUCAGAUAUUUUUAUAAUGUGAGAGGUUAUUUGCUUUAACAUGCUUUAAGUAGCCUAGUCAAAAGUUUGGUUUCAGAUAAUAGAAUUGAAGCUUAUUUCCCAAACAAGUUGUAGCAGAAGGAUGUGUUGCGGUUUUAUGCUGUCUCUAGCAACCUUGGCUGAUGUUUAUUUUGUUUGUCCCUGAACAGCAUUGCCACAAAAUUUCCAUACUUGGUUCAGAAGAAACUUAGAGAAGGCCAAGAAGUAAGACGGGUGGCACAGCUUGACUGGAAGAUAAUUGAGGAGCAUUAUGACAAACCAUUUGUUGCAUCAGGACUAAAAUUCAUUCCUUUGCCAGUUAGUGUGCUGUCUCUUAAGAUAAUAUACCAUCUCUGCCAUAUAAUUUAUGCCUAAGUGCUUAAUCAUACUUUUGAUUCAGGUGAUGCAUGGAGAAGAUUAUAUCUGUUUAGGUUUUCUUUUUGGUGAAAAUUGUAAAGUGGCUUAUAUUUCUGAUAUCUCACGUUUUCCUUCAAACACAGAAUACGGUAGGUGCUGCUUUUGCUCCUUUUCUUGUAGGCACACAUGCAUUUUCACCUUUUACACAUAUUUUCAUUUUAUCGGUGAUGUUAAAUGUGGAGAGGAGACUUCUAUCUACUUCAUGUCAUCUUGAGGAGCUUGUCAAUGUUAGCAUUUUAGGAAUAUAUAUUUAUUGGAUUUUCCUUGUGUUAACAAUUGAAGGAAAUAUAUCUAUUGCUAUAAAGGUUGCUUCACUGCUCAAUAGGGAUGUCAAUCUUACCCAUACCUAAUGGGGAAUUCGGCUUUUUAUCCUAAUAGGGAUGGAGAUGGGUUAUGAGUAUAGGGAUGGGGAUGGGUAUGAUUUUAAAUUUUUAUUGGGUUCGGGCUCAUACCCAUGCCCUACAUAUAUUUUUUUAUAUAUUUAGUAAAUAGAUUUUUUAUUAAAUAAUAUAAAUUAUUAUUUUAGAUUAAUUAAAAUUAGUAUAUUUUUAUUGAAAAAAUAUAUAUUAAUAUAUAUAUUUAUAAAAAAAAUUACCUAAAUAUACAAGAUAAAAAUAAAAAAGCUAAAAAAAAUAAAUUUUAGUUUUUAUUUUUUUUAAAAAAGCUACGGAUAUAUGGAUUAUCCAUAUCUAUUAAAUAUCCACGGGAUGGGGAUGGGGAUAGAUUUGAAAUAUCCAUUGGGUAUGGGUAUGGGUAUGGGGAUGAGUAUAAUAUAAAAAUCCGGGGAUGGGGAUGGGGAAUGCUCUACCCUCCCCAUACCCCACCCAUUGACAUCCCUACUCCUCAAUGGAUCCUUCAAGCAGUUUUAAUCCUCGAAUCAUUUUUGUAUUACUCAAACAGAUUAUAGGUCUUAAACUUAGUGAGAGAGCUGUCCUGCACAGGUCAUAAACUAAGAAACUUCUCUAUGACUUGAUUCAAAUUGCAAAAGAUAAGAUGCUUAUGGAUCAUCCCUUUACAAUGUUUACUCUGAUCUCUUGAUGUUGAGUGGGACUUGGUGUAAAGAAUACACAUGUUCUCUCACUUCUAAGUUUUUGGUGUUCCAAGUCUUGUUUUUCUGAAUGAUUUGUCUGUGAAUUGAGUUUUCUUGAUGUUAAAAUAAAUUAUGUAAUGAAUUGUGUUUGAUCAGAAUAUUGGGUUUACAGUUAUUUCCAAAAAUGGUGCUGGACAAUUGGAUCUUCUGAUAUUAGAUUGUUUAUACAAGGUGUGUUACUGCCUUGGUUCUUUCAUUUUUAUACUGUUGACUACCUGCUUUCAUUUUUUGUUGGUGAAUUGUCUAGAACUGCUAUAAGUAGAGAAAUCAAAAGACUGAAUUUGAUCCUUGUUGAUUCUUCCAUAACGUAUAUCUGUAUAUAUUUGUGUGCUGCUGUUCGUCUUAUGUUCUUACAUCCUAGUUUGGUACCAUAGAUGAUUAUUUAAUAUAGUUGACAGGGCAAAGUAAUGUGGGAUUUACAUCCUAGUUCGGUACCAUAGAUGAUUAUUUAACACAGUUUACUCUAGUGCAUUUGAAGUGUAAAUUUCUCUGCUUAGUCUGAUCAUGGUUGGGCCACAGAUUUCUUACUAAAAUUCAUUUGAUGAACUUGUACACUGCAGUUGUACAUUAAUACUCCUUUCUGUUAUUUAUUUCGUAUUUAAUGAUUUAUGAUUGUCCUUUCAAUAAUGAUAUGCUUGCUAUAUCCUCUAAUCAGAACUAAUGUUUUUUCUGUUUUCCGCAUGGUAGAAAGGAUCCCAUAACGUUCAUUUAUGCUUACCACAGGUUUGUUCUAAAUUUUCCAAUAAUUUUUCUUCAUGUUAGUAUUUUGAUCGUCACAAGGUGCUCAUUUUCCAUCCACUUAUUUUUGCAGACUCUUGAGGCUCUAAAGAGGAUAUAUCCAAAACAAGCUCUAUUAAUUGGAAUGACUCAUGAGUUUGAUCACCACAAGGACAAUGAGUUUCUUAUGGAAUGGUCUGAGAGGUAAACUGAUUUCCAAAUUACUUCACAAAUUUUAUGGUAUAGUUUACCCGAAUUUCUCAGAAAGUAUCAAUAAAAUAAAAGAAACUGAUAUCAGAUGUUAUUCUUCUUAUCUGUAUGUAGGGAAGGAAUCCAUGUGCAACUAGCACGCGACGGUCUGAGGGUCCCCAUAGACCUAUAAUGAGGUGAGGCAUGUCUUUAGAAAGUUGUUUUGAUGCCAGGUGAGAAUAUCCUGCACACUGUCUAAUUUAUUUUUUCUUCUCUCUCUUGUUCUUAAGAGGAAACCAUAUUCCUCACUUGUCAGAUUUCUUGUGAGUGUUUCAUGAAUGCUAUAGUUAGCAAAUCAACGGAUACAAUAAGGUGUCCAGAUUCAUAUCUUAUUUUAACAAAAUAAAACUGAAAACAUAAGCAUAUGACACCUACAACCAGCAUUUUCCUGUGUGAAUGCUAGUAAACUUGAUAACCAACUAUGAAGGCAAUCAAUUAAGCUCUUUGCUUGUACUUCGAUCACAUUACAUGCUUAAGUCCUACAAAAGAAAAAGGAAAACGUUAACAAAAUACCUUUUUCUCUUGUUUACGCAGGUUUAUACAUGGGCCACGGAAACAUUCAUACUUUUCCAUCCCAUUGGAUUGGGAGAAGAGCAAUUAUAUUCUGUUAAUUAUUUAUAGCUUCAGUAGAUCUGGGGUUUAGGGUUUAUAAUAUGGUAAACAAUGUGAACAACGAGAAAAGUGCAAGCAGAGAGGAUUCCUGAUGUUACCGCUUGAUCGUUAAACUUGUUCCAAGUUCUACUACCCUUUCUUCUUUGUAACAUUGUUUUUUAAAAUAAUUUUAUUCAAUCAUUACCCACCCUUUAUAUGGUUGGUGGACCGGAAGCGUAGAUUCAUCCCCGCGUUUUCCAACAUUUGCAUUGGAAUUAAGGAACCGAUGUAGUUCCUCGAAAAGAUUUAAAUAAUUGGUACGUGUCCAUGCAGGAAUAAUUAAAAAAUAAUUAUUAUUUCAUUAUUAAAAAAACUCAACGAGAUUCAAUUUCAACAUGCCUUCCAUAAUUUUAUUGUAAGGUUCCUUAUUUUCUGCACCAUUCACUUUUCAAAGGAAUUUUUUAGUUUUAAACCCUAAAAAAUUAUCGAUUUCAUUGCUUCGUUCGAUCGACCAAUCUACAUGAUCGAUGUUUGUUUUACAAAAAAUGAUUUUUAAAAAAUAAUUUUUGUAUUUUUAGAUGUUUAUUUAAUAGAAAAUUGAUUAAUUAAUAAAAAGUGACUUAUUAAUCAAUGAAAAAUAAGAUACUUUUUAAAAGGUUAUCUUACAGAUUUGGAAAAAAAAAAUUUCGAAAAAGAGUUGUCUGAGUAUAAUUAUUUAUUAAUACUUUUGAGUAUAAUUUUAUUUAUAAAUAAUAUUAUAAUAAUAAAUAUUAUUAUAUUAUUAUAUAUUGAUAUAUUAAUAAAUAAUAUAAUUAUAAAUAUUAUUGAUUUAAUUAAUAAAUAUUAUAAUAAUAUAUGAAUAAAUAAUAAACUAUUAAUAUAAUAUAUUAAUAAAUAUUAUUAAUAAAUAAUAUAAAGAAUAAUAAAUAGUUUUAUUUUAGAUAUUUUUUAUAUUAACAAACAUUUUAAUAUUAUAUUAUUAAAAUAUAAUUGUUUUCAUAUUAAUAAUUUUAAUAUAUUUUAAUAAUAAGUAAUUUUUAACAUUUUAAUAAUUAUAUCAAUAUUAUUUUUAAAAAAUAUAAAAUUUUCAAAAAAUAACCAAAUAACAAAAAAUAUUUUUCAUUUAUUCAUUCAAACAAUAAAAAAUUUAUUUCAAUUUAAAAAUUAUAAAUAUUUUUUGAAAAUUAUUUUACAAAAAUUAUUUUCUGUAGAACAACCAAACCUAAGAUUAAACUGAAACCUGAAAUUCUUUCUUUUUUUUCUUUCUUUCAAUGCAACAUAGAGCUGUGUUCAAACUUCUAAUAUAUAGACCAUUAUCAUACAAUUACAAUUAAAUAAUCAAAACCAAUAUGAAAAUAACAAAGUCCAACAUCCAAAUUACAAAAAAAAAAAAAAAAAAAACCUCUUCAGUUGAAUGAUCAAUUUGCAAAACAUUAGUUUUAGUUGUGAUAUAGAGAUUUUGUUUUAAAAAAAUAAAGUGUGGAAAGAGUCAAAACAGGAGACUAUUAGCUAGUCUUUUCUCAGGGCUUUAAAAUCAUUUUUUCAGUUUUCCUCGCAAGUAGGCAAGGUAGACCAGGCAAGCUCCCAUGACUAAUUGAAUUUCUUCUUUCUUUCUUCCAACCCCUCAACUACGCCACCAAACCGAAGUUUCCAGUUCCCAUUUCCCUUUCAUAUUUUUUUUUUACCUUUAAUCAGUUCAUUUCAAGAUAUAAAGAAGAAAGAAAGGUAAGAGAAAAAAAAAAAAUAAUCUCAGGAGAUAGUAAAAAGGGGGAAAAAAAAGGGUUAUGGCUUGCUUUGUUCCUUUCAAUAACAGAAAUUUGGAUGUAACCCUUUUUGUGUUUAAGCCAACGGUUGUACUUGUUGAUGAACUUGUUGAGUCACUGAAACAGUUCUGUGUAUGCACUGAAACUCUUGGUUGUGUUCAAAGUUCUAUAUUCAAGAGCAUCCAUGGUAAUCUGGUAAGCUAAAAGCCAACAACUUAUUUUUAUAUGUCCUGUUUUUUUCUCCAUGAUCUUCCUUUCAAUACCAUACCUUAUUCCAUUUUGAAGAUUUUUCAACUGCCUUGUUUUCUCUUUAGAUCAUAUGGUAUGGAGGAUGGAUGAAGAAAUCUUCCGAAAACAAAGAACUUUUGACUACAACCCUUGUAAGUUGGAUUGCUCCUCCUGGAACUGUUGUAUCUGUUGCAAUAUUGCUUCUUGAUUGAUUAAUCUAAAACACUUUUGAAACUAUCAUUAAUGCAAUCCUUUCAAGAAGGGAAUUGUGUAAAACCAAUAUGAACAUAAACUCUGGUAGCGUCCCAAACCAUAUUAAAAUCAUAGCAGGCCUCAAGUAGAAUCCAGAUUUUUUUUCUUUUUUGGUUAUCCUAAGGAAGUAACAUGAGAAACAAAUUUGUUGAAUGAUUGAAAUUCAUUGCAAAAUAUUUCCUAUCAAAUGUCCUAGGCUCUCUUUCUUGGUCAGGAUGGAAAUUAGAUUUACCAGAAAUGAUUUCAACAAUGCCAUUAGGUUUGGUCCAAAGGAAAAAGAAAAAGCUUUGGAAUUGAAUCAUAUAUCUGUUGGGCUUUCCAUACUAAUUAUUGGCAGUCAUUAGAGGGUUUCUUUUUUGUAAGCUGUGUAAAAAGUAUCUGGCUUGACCAACAAUAUUGAAUAGAAUGAAUAUUAUGAAAGAACUAUAAUUAGCUACUAAAACUUUAUUUUACUGCUCAGUGUGAUAAAUUUGUUUUUGGACUAUUGAUCAGGAUUGAGAUUCUGUAAUUUUUAAUCAAGCCACCCUUAUCCGUUUUCUCCAGCUAUCAAUGUUAACAAGCAUGUCAAGCAUGGCUGUUUUAACUGAACAUAGCUUCUUUGAUGCAUACGCUGGAGAAUCAAAAGAUGGCUCCAAUGCUGCCAAGUUCUCCACAGGUGACAUAGUCUCCAUGAAUCUGAUUACAUCUUCUUCCAGUGACCUAAACGAUGUCUCCUACGCGAACUUAGCCCUAUUCAGGUCUCGUUUCUUGAAGAUGGAAGGGGCCACAGCAGGAGUUUGCUUGAAAUGCCAAAGCAUGCCAAGGGUAGCAUGCCUUUACGUAUGGAAAUCUCUUCUACUAUGUUAUUCAUGGAUCCUUACCUCGGAUUACAGGAAGACAAUGCUGCCCUACCUUGAUCGUUUUUCCCUCAGUAUUAAGUAUGACAUCUUCUGGGUUGUCUAUGUUAGCAGUGAAAAUGUACAGAACUAUCAGAUUCCCCCUCAGCAUCAUGUUCUAGAAAAUGGAGAAGAAACCAGGAAUGAAGGACGGAUCAUAUGAGAUUAAAGAAGAAUGUUUCUUGACAAUUUUGCAUAUAUAGAUUUUGUUGUGAUGCAAAUAAUUUGUUGCAUAUGCUGCCAUAAGUAGUAUAAUCAAGGGAUUCAGUUAAGCUAUUUUUAGUUAGAGCCCAUGUACAUACCAAUUUGAAUUCUUUGAUGAAAUUGAAAUUUAACAUGAAAUACUAUUGAACGAAAACUGCAGCCUGAGAUUCAAUGGACUUUUAUGUCUGGUAGAUGUAUAAAAAUAAGAAGGCCCCCUUCUCAUUAUCAUUCUUUUCUUGAGGGAAAAGGAACCUAAAAAGAAGUGAAAAGGGUAAUGGUCACAAGUUUCUUGCCUUUGCCGUUGAGCCAGUCAGAGGUACCAAGCGCUUGGAAUUAGAAUAACAAACAACUUUUGGUGAAAAUUUUGAAAGGUGGAAGUGGAAUUUGUUAGCUUCAUCUGGCCUGAUGGAUUAGAAAAAAGCACCAAGUCAAACAUGGGCUUCACCCAACUUCGGAGCUUCGGCGCCUUGUUCUAAGCUCAACCCCAAGCCUAUCAAAGCAAAAACUUGGGCUGUUCUACCUAGAUUUACACAUCUUUACAUUGGAUUCUUACUGACAUUUGUGUCAUAUUUUAUAUAAUAUUUGUAUUAUAAUUUGUAUAGACAUAAAAAAUAAAAAAUAUUUUUUUAUUUUUAUUAAAUUUAUAUAUAAUUUUUGUUAAAAUUUUAAUUCCUAUCACAUUUGUGUUUUUUUUGUCUACCAGGUCUACUUACGGUAAUAAACCCCUUUUAGCAGCCUAUUUUGCAGUUAUGUUCCUGAUAUUCCCUAGCUUUAGUGUAUUUUUAAGUUGUCUUUCCUGUGAAUCCUGUCUUUCUAUUUUUUUAUUGCUUACCAAAAAAUGAAAAACAGGAUUAGUUAAUAAGAAUUUAAUUCUUGGGGCUUUGAAGGUGUUAAUCUUCUGAGGCCAACAAUGUGAAAAAGUAUAUGUAGCAAGGCAGUCCCACUCUGCAGCUUUCAGGGGAAUCACCUGAUCGAGCUUGUCACCCUCAAGUCUACCAUGAAUGAAUUAUUUCAGGUUAUGUACGAAAAAGCUUCCCUUUAUUCGGUAAGAUUUUGUUUUCCUCUUAUGGAUACAAUAUACAAUACUAUGACCUAAAACUCUUCCUUAUUGAACAAAGUUAUCAAGCCUUUAUGAUUAACCAUCUUCACUUUGAAUCUUUGAUAUGAUAUCCAUAUUUUGGCAGGAAAAAUCAAUAAUAAUUGCUAUAGUCUUCAAACUAACAGUAAUUAAGAAAUGGUUAUUGUUGCUAAUCAUAGAAAUUGGAUGCUCAAACUACCAAGAAUUUAAGGGUGUACAUAGAAAUUGGAUAUAAAUAAAUUUUGUUAAGUUCGUGUCCUGAAAUAUUAUUCGUGAUUGGUUGUUAAGUUUAAUAAAUGAUUACAAAUGAAUAGAAAUAGAGCUUAUUCAACAAACUAUUCAUUGAAUUCUUUAUUCUUUUAUAUCAUUUAAACAAAUUAAACUUGAAUGAAUUAUGUUAUGUAUUUAAUUAACGAACCUUAAAAUAUUAUCUGUAAUCAUUUAUUAAAUUUAAUAAAUAAACAAAAAUCGAAUAUAUUUACAAAUUAUUCAUCGAAGGUUUUAUUGUUUACUCUAGAUUCUAAUUCAAUUAGUUGGAAAUGAAUGUAUUUAAUUAACGAACUUUAAAAUAUUAUUCGUAAUCGUUUAUUAAAUUUAAUAAACAAAUAAAAACUGAAUAUAUUCAUAAAUUCUUCAACAAGUUGACUUACUCUCGAAUUGAUUCCAAUUCAAUUAAUUCGUAAAAGUCUAAAAGAUUGUUUAUGGUCAUGAAUUCUUGAGUGGGAGAAAAAUAUAGUAAUUAGAAACCACUGCUUUUAGCUAAAGAAUACGAGAUUUCAAUCAGGAAAAUGAACCAAAUUUAAGAACCAAAGAAGGAAUAGAAUCUGCAUUUUUCUCCUUUUUUCACAAAGUUAUAAUGUGCACGUUAAGUUAGAUGGUAGGCAGGCAAAUUAAUCAUCACUUCAACCCCUCAACCAACAUGAUGAUAUGAAGUUGGCUAUCUCCAUUUAUUUAAACUAGCUUGAACUAGGUUUUGGGAUCAACACUAGAAAAGCUAAUAUCAAUUAACUUUUGAACCACUUUUACCCUCCCCUGUCAGGUUUCCUGAAGGAGCAACAUCAAUUGCCAAGCUUUUGAAGGCAAUCAAAAAUCUUUGGUAGGUGAGAUUUCUAUAAUUCUAUAUCCUCAAACAAGUACAUGACCUGCCAAUAACUUGCAUGACCCACAUAAAACGGUAAUUGAGAAUUUUGAAUUAUUAAACCUUCAACAAGUUUUUAUAUGCAUCUUUAUUCAAGUCAUUCCUUCCAAAAUGUCCUAUUCAUGAUUGAUCUUAAAGCUACACAAACAUAAAUUAAUGUCUGAAACAUUAGAACAAAGAAGAACAUUCAAAGAUUGGAGAAAGUUGGUAAACUAUAAGGGACCCAUGUGAGAAAGAUGAAAGAUUAUCCUGCCCAUUUCAGUGAACAAGUCCAACUUGGUAUUCCCUCCAUUGUCAUGCCCCACAUUCAAUGGAAUUUCCACAGCAAAAUCAAGUUUAAGUAAGAGCUGUUGUUUUCUAUACAGGCACAUGUAAGGCUAAGUCUAUAGGCCAUGUCUGGACUCUGGUUGGUCUAAAAUUUCUCCAGUUAGUUUGAGAAAGUUUGAAAAAAGUUUGGAUACCUUUUUAUGAUUGAAAUAAGAGGGAAUACGGACAAUGUUCUUUUUGAUCAUGCCAUGAAUGAAUAUUUGGAUGGUCCUACCAAAAUAAAUUCUAAAAUACAUUGAAUCACAGGUUUGGCCAACAUUUUUCAGCCAUUUUUCGAAUUGGCGAACCAGAUUUACCUUCAUUCAAAUAACCGCAGCCGACCUUGAAUUUUUGGUAGAGUCACUCUCAUAAAGUCAAAAAAAUGACAUUUUAUAAGAGCACAAUUACAGGCCAAUCUCAAGCCGUAUGCAAUGGCUAAUGUAUACUUAUUAUGCUACUAAUUAAGUUGUGGGGUACGAUCCCAUGUUGCCAAUGAACCCCACAAGCUAAUUUCCACAAAUUAGGAAUCUUGAAAAAAAAAUUGAUGAUCCAAAGUUUUGAACUUAGGCACAUCAAAACAAUUUUGUUUGAAAUUAAAUGAUUAUAAAGUUAUGUGCAUGAGAUUCAUACGCGUUUUCUAACAAUUUUAUGAAUAAAUCUAAAUAAUCCAUUCAUGACCAAAAUUGAAUAAUUAUAAAUUACAGUAAUAAUUGAUAUCAACUUCAGUAAAAACACAUAUGAAUUAGUUUAAUUGAUAAAAAGAAGUUCAUUUUCUUUUCAAUCAAGAUUUAACAUGAUAUGGGGAAUUACCUUAAAAUUUUUGGAAGAAUAAAUUCGAAAAAUACCUAAAAUAUCUUUAUUGUAUUACCAAAAAAAAAUGCAAGUGUGUUAAGAACCAUGCUUCUUGCCAUGUGGAUAACAUGGUAAAUGAAGAAUGCAAGACAAGUCACCCUGUUCACUCUUAUACACAUCAAAGGGCGGCCACGGCCAGCCGAAGUGGGGCCAGGCCCCGAUCAACGAUUGCCCUAAAAUACAAAAGGACGUGGACCAUUGACAACGGGGAACAUCACAUGUGAAUAGAUCUCCAAACCCACAGUCCCACAGUUCCACACGCACAUUAUUAUUGUAUAAAGAAUGUUUUUGGACACCAUCAUCUGAGGCAAAUUCUCCCUAGAAAAUUAUAGCUGAUAAAGAAAGGAUUACUCGUGAUGUGUAAAUCAGAUAAUUUGUGUAUGUAUUUAUUUUAUAUUUUAUAUAAAAAUUACAUGUUAUAAUUCGUAUUAAUACGAAAAUAUAAAAUAUAUAUUUUAAAUUUAUCAAAUUUAUAUAUAAUUUUUAAUAAAACAUUAAAUUAUAUUAAAAUUUUUUAUAUUAUAUUAUAAUAUUAUAUUUUUAAUUAUCAAAGUUUAAUGCUUUAGUAGAGAGCUUGAGAUCCCAUCCAUCAUAAAAAUUAUCAUAAGUAGGGUAGGGGACCCUUCAUCUUUUAUCCUGGGGCAUUGAGCUACUACAAAACUAUACCUAGUGGAUACGUAAUUAGUUUUUUAGUUAGGGAAAUGUUGUUGAGUUUAGUGCCCUUAAUUCUUAAAUACAUAUAAAAAAACCUUGGAACCCUAGAAGGUAUUUUCUUCCAACAAUGGCGUUAGGACUUAGGAUUAUUAUUUUUGUUGUCUUCGUCGCUAAGUCAGUAGUUAAGAUUGCUAAAUCAACGACAAUCUUAAUUAACCUAAUGCUUAGCUGACAAUAAACAUAUAAGUUGAUCACAUUAACACAUAUAAAAUAAAAAGAUAAAUUCGUACUAAACAGGUAAAAUUUUUUUAGUUCAUUUUUUUUUCUUUUUCUAUUGCCAUCUUUCCCAUUGUAUUGAUUUGUAUUGAUUUGAGUAUUAAAACGUAUUCAAAAAUAUUAUUUUUAUAACCGCUAAUCAUUUUUCUUGUUACAUAUCACACAUACCUUGUAAAUCAAUCCUCCCAUUCCACCUCUACCGAGACCCUAAUUACCAAUUGAAAAACACAUUAAUAAUUUUCUUUUUAAAUUAUGCAUUGGAUUUUGUAACCUAAAAACUGUUGGUAGAGAGAAAGAAACCCUAAUCUUUUUUCAUUGGUUAGGUCUAAUAUGCUAAAAUAUCAUUUGAUAAAGAUAAAUUUUAAUUUCGUUCCAUAACUGCGUUGAUGUAAUCAGCAAAGUUGUGACAGUUCAAUGAUGAAGUCUCUGAAUUUUAUUCAGCACAUGUCUCAAGAUCAUUAAAAAAAAAAAAAAUGAUGAUGCACUAAUAUUUAUUGAUAGUAAUUGAUAAAAAAAAAAAAAUCCCUUUUGGCCUAUCUAAGGCUAGCAACAUUUUGUAGAAGAAAAAUAAAUUUGAAGAGGCCAUGGGUUAGGUACUUAGCUCUAUCAAUAUUAAAUGCCAUUAGGGGCUAAGCAAAAGCAACGUUAAUAAUGUAGAAAUUCAAGUGUCCUUUUCUCUUUCUCAAACUAAUUAAAAUGGAUUAAUUAAUGCCCUAAUAACAACAGGGUUUAGGGCAGGGGUUCCUUUAUUUCAAAGGGCCAAAAAGAAAAGGUGACAUAGUUGUAGAAUUCUGAACCCUCUGCUUCUCUUCUCUGACGCUGUUCGAUGUUCAUUCAUUCACACCUUCACAUAAAAAAGAAAAAAAAAAAGACAUUGGUGGAUGUGUUCUGUUCUCCCAAGUAUCUUUGACUACUGACUUAAAGAGGAAUAUUUGGCCACCUUCCCUUGUUCUUUUGUUUUUUCCUUUACCAUUAACUCUCUUACAAAUUCCAAUCAGGUGCCUUUUAAAUAAUCGUAAAAAGCUCUGCGAGGAAUUCAAAAUUCUUAAUACUAUAAAAAAAAAUCUCCUCUGUGUGUAUUAAUAAUGAAUUAUCAUUUUGUACAUAGAUACUUGUAAAAAAUUAAUCAUAAAUUUAAAUAAUUUAUAUAAGCAUAAAGAUAAAUUUACAUUUUAUUUUUAAUUUUAUAUAUAACUAAUUCAUGAAUCAAUUAAUCAUUGCAACUCGACUCCUUUCCAACUCUUUUAAUUACUAUUUUUCAAUGCUUGUAUAAUUUUUUUGCAAUUUUAUUAUUAAUAAUUGAUUAUUAUUAACAACUUUUUUUGCAGCUAGAGUAUGUGGAGAAGAUCCAGGAACAAUUAAUCUGGUUAGUAGUAAAACUUUUUAUAGUUCAAUCUUUGGUGCCUUCUCUUGUUUUUCUGAAAAAGAAAGCUUAGGGUGUUUCAAAGUUGGUAGAAAGUCAUGUCAAUCACAUUAUUAUCUCAACAACCAGAAUUAGAUUAGAUUUGGGCUGCAAAAAUGAUUCAAGUUUCAGCAUACCUUUGACACAACGUAAGAGAAAGAAACCUCAUUGGCCAAUUUGGAACUCCCAAAUCCCAUCUAUUGUCUUCUGUCUUCAGAUUUUAUCUAUAUUGUACUGUCCUGGAUUCCCUGGCGACUGGCGUCAUCUUUUGCUUCCAUUUUACCCUUUACUUGUCAUUGGUCAAACCAGAAGUAAACAAUGUUUAGUUCUAAGUUUAACCCAAAGAGAUGAUUUUUGCUUAGUUUUUACAAUGAUAAAACUUUUGAACUUCGCAAAGGAUGGGGUGCCAGCCUGAACAUGCCAGGCCUAAUGGCUGUGAUUGAACCAAGGUUCUGACUGGAUUCUCUUCUAUUCUUUGUGUUUAAACUUUUUUAACCAAUCAAACAUUGAGAUUGUGAGGACCACCCUGAACAAUCAAUCAGUCAAAAUUUACAGGUAAUUAAAUACUAAAGAAAGAUCAUAAAUUAAUCGAUUAGAUUUGAUUGAUAUGGCAUUAUUAUCAUUUGAGAUAUGAUUUAACAACUCCUCUUUUCUUUUAAUACUACCCUUUUUCCUUCAUUAUUAUUCUUAAUCCUCUAAUUUCCUUUCAAUUUGUUUUUGGUAAUAAUUGAAAUUAAAACAGUGAAAAAAAAAGAAUAAAGUGUUUGCAAAUUUUGUGAAUGAUUGAUAAUGACCCAAUUGCUGUUUUAGAAGGAAAUGGCAGUUACUAUACAGAGCAAAAUGAAAUUCCACUUUUUCAUCAUUGCAGUUGUUGAAAAGGCCAUGGUGGUCUUCAUCAUUUCCAUAUUUUCUUUUGUAUUCUGUUGAAAAAAGAAGAAAAAAAAGAAAACCAAUUUUGAUUAAUGACCAAAAGAAUUUCAAUUACUACAAAGAGCUAGCUUUUGUCGUAAUCGCCAAUUCCUCGGCUAUUUUUUUAGUUCAAAGGUUGAAACUUUAGAAUAGCGCCGACUAGGAGUUUCACAUAGGUGAUAGGUCGGCCCACCCUGAUACGGCCACAUCAGAUGGACCCCACGUAGUGAUGACGUGGCGAGAUCAAAAUGGGGAAGAUGUAGAAGGUUGUAAUGGAGAGGAGAAAUGACAAGAAGAGAGGACCAUGAUAUGAACAGAGUCUUUUACACUUGUCGUCUACAAAACACAGAGACCGUCAGGUUUUUUUUUCGUUUCUAUCUCUGCUUGUUUAACUUAGAAAGUUGGAAACUCAGCAGUGAGAAAAAGAAAGUGUUUAGAGUCUUAUUGGAGUUAAUAGAGAGAUCUAAUGGAGUAUGAGAGAAUAGAUAAAGUUCAGGUAAGCCAUUUUUUUUGUGUUCUUUGAGCUUUUGUACGUUAAUGAAGGGUUUUGAGGUUUUGGUUUAUGAAUUGUUAAUGUCAACUUUCUUUUAGAAAGGGAGUUAAGAUGUGAAAUGAAGAAAAAAAAAAAAAAAAACUUGUCUUUGGGUGGUGAAUGGUUUUUGUUCUGAUCUGGGUUUUAAACAAAUUUUAAAGUUUAAAGGUUUCCCUAUUCUUGUUUUAUUGAAUUAAAAGUGAGGAGAAACAAAUAUGGAUAAUUUUUUUUUCCUUUUGGGUCCAAAAAUGGAGUCUUUUCUAGAUGAUGGGAAAUUGGGAAUUGAUUUCCUUGCUUGUUUUAUGCAGGAAGUUGAAUGCUUUUUUUUUCCUUUAAGUUGGUUGUGAUGAUGGGAAGGUUAAUUUGUUUGCUUUACAUUUUUUCUUUUUUGAUUGAUGGAACCAAGACAAUGGAAAAGUACCAUGAUUUUUCUCGUAUUUAAUCACAGUUUAAUAUGGGGUAUGGGCUUAGUACAUUGAUUCUACAUAAAGGGAUGCUCUUUUCUUCAUUUGAAAUUGAAUGUGAAUUAAAGUUUCUUUCUUUCCUUUUCCUUUUUAAAUUCCUUUUUUGGAUCUUUACUGCAGGGCGGUAUUUCACCAAGUAAAUUGAGGAUGAAGCUGAUGGGGCCUCAUCAUCACAGAAUGAAAGAUGGAUCAAACAGCAAUUCUUCUAGGACAUCUCCUUCUAGGAUUGAGGAUGCUGAGUUUGUCAACGGUUUAUUAGCCUCUAAGAAUGGAGAUUUUGAUGAAGAAGGUUUGCUACUUUCUCUCUUUUCUUCAUUAUUAUAACUCAUACAUCUGGACUCCCUCUGCGCUGCAAAGCAAGUGCUUUCUUUUUUCUUUCUUUGGCCUGAAUGAAACUAGCAGGUAGAAGUCUGCUACUUUUGAAGAUCUUAUGGUCUGUAAAUUAGAUAUAGGUAACAUUUCUUUCGAAGAAUUUUUUUGGUGGAAAAAUACUAGCACUAUCAUGGCUAAAUAUGAUUCCAUUUGUUUCUUGGCCUGGUUUAGGCAGGGAGAGCAGAUGCAUUGAGCAGAGUGUUUUAUCUGCUGAUUUAAACAUAUUUAAUUGAAUUGCAGUUCCAAGCUUUGAUGUUGCACCCGUUAAAAUAUCCAAUGAGGUGGUGUUGGAUUCCAGCCUAUAUGAUCAAAUUUCUAGCCAACCAAAGGAGUCACUUGCAAGGGAGAGCAUUGAAGUGGAUCAUGCUAAAUUGCAGCAAUUCUCAAAGAAUGAUAAUGGUAAUUCCAGCACAAUUCAUCCCAUGAGGACACUAGAAGAUGAAAAUCUUGAUUAUGAUAGUAACGCUAGUUCAUCAAGCUUUGAGUUUCAUAAGGGAGAGAGAGUACACAAUUCCAUGACAAGGUCAUACUCGAGACCUAUGUCAUCUAAGUGGAAUGAUGCAGAGAAAUGGAUAAUGAACAGGCAAAAUGUCCAAGCUGCUUAUGCUAAGAAGAAUGCAUUUCACAACCAAGCUAAUCGAUUUCCCAUGACAAAUAUGGUGCGAGUUGCUCCAGAGUCCGCAAAUUAUGAUCAGAGGUCAGCAGUUAAUCGCAUGGUUGACACUAAGAGGGUAGAUUUAUGUCAGCCGGCUGUGCAGAUGGCAUUCGAGAAGUUCUCUUUUAUUCCUUCUGCAGCUCAUCCUAAGUCUGUGGAAGCAUAUGGAGGAAACUUGUUAAGUAAUCGGUGUCCUCAAAGUAAAGAUUUGAGGGAAGUGGCUCAGAGGGAUUUAUCUUGUACAGAAAGUUCAGCAGAAGAUACAGCAGGUUAAUUUGCAUGAUGAGCUUUUACAUGUUUUGUGCCUAAAAAUUAGAUAUUAGCAGACUGCAUAUUUAGUGAUGCACCGUGCAUCCAUCUUGAUUAUAGAGUCUACUGUAUCAUCUGAUCACCAUAAUGAGCACGUGCAUUAUAAUGUGAUUAAGAACAUUGAAAUGUUUGACUCCCAUGCAACAGAUUGAGCCAUGGGGCUGGGCAACUGUUGCUUCCACUCUUCUGGGCCCCAAACGGAUGCUAUGAGUUGAGUGAAGGGUUUAUGAAGCUUAAGCCAUUAUAGUUACAUAUGCAUAUGAUGAUUUCUUAUAUGGGCCUUGAAACCAUCAUGUGAAUUGAUGAGUUUAAUGGUCACCUUACCCUGUGGGAAGUACCAACAAGGGAUUCUCAGGCUCCUUCAUACCCUGAUUCUUUUUUCUUUUUGCUGUGGGGAUGGUAUGUGAAGGAGAAUUUGUAGAGUUUGGUUUUUCUGCUGUUACAACAUUGUCAUUUUAUUUUGCUUUAAUAAAUUUUAUAUAGUAGCUGCAAUGUUAGUUUCUUUUCCUUUUACCGUCAAAUGGCUUGAAACCUUUUUGAUAUUCUUUAGUACACAGAAUAUUGACCAUAGUUUUUUUUUUUUUAUUUAAUCUCUAUCUCAUACUUUAAGAUUUGGCGUUGCAGUUCUGCCUGCAAUACGAUCAGUUUCUAUGAGAGAUAUGGGAACAGAAAUGACUCCUGUUACAAGUCAAGAGCCUUCUAGGACUGCUACCCCUGUAGGGGCAACAACUCCUCUCCGAAGCCCAACGUCUUCAUUCCCAUCUACUCCCAGAAGAGGGGAACCAACAUCAACGCCUUUGGACCACGCUACAGAUGAUGAGUCACAGCAUCCCACUAAUAAUGGCAAGAAAGAAUUGUCCAAGCAAGAAAUGAAGCUCAAGACAAGAAGAGAGAUUGUAGCGCUUGGCGUCCAGCUUGGCAAGAUGAAUAUUGCUGCUUGGGCAAGCAAAGACGAGAAGGAAAACAAUACAUCUGCAGUUGAAACCACUAGUAUAGAGGAGCUUGAGCAGAAUGAAUAUGAAAAACGAGCAGCUGCAUGGGAGGAAGCUGAAAAGUCUAAGCAUACAGCAAGGUAUAUGAUCCAAUAGUUUACAAAUUUCUAUGCGCUUAAAACUAUUUCCCAUUUAUUUAUUUUUGCUGAAUGCAUAUUUCUAUUUCCUAGGUAUAAGCGUGAAGAGAUCAAAAUUCAAGCAUGGGAGAGUGAGCAGAGAGCAAAACUAGAAGCAGAGAUGCGAAGAAUAGAGGUAUCUGAUAUCCCUUGUGUCAUCACAUACUCAAAAUAAAGAUUGCUGAUCUCUUCGUAGGGAAUUGGUAAUGUAAAAGCUCAGUGAAAAUAAAGAGAGUAAACCUGGAUAAAAUGCUAGUAGGAAGGACAGUUAUGUUCAUCUUAACCUCAAAUCUUCAGACAUGAUUCAAAAUAAAUGAACCUUGAAAUAUGGGUUGGUUUUAGAUUGAGAUCAUGCAGUUAACCGAGUUAAAUUCCAUUACAAAAUCUAAAGCAUUUGAUUCAAGUCUUUGUUUAACCAGAAAGAUUGCAGUCAUAAAGGAUCAUUCCUGUGGCCACAUGCUGAGGAAUAAACUGAUAAUAAGCUUGUCUUUGACUUUUCAGGCAAAAGUAGAACAAAUGAGAGCUCAAGCUCAAGCAAAGAUGGUGAAGAAGAUUGCUAUGGCUAGGCAAAGAUCAGAAGAAAAACGAGCUGCAGCCGAAGCCAGAAAAAAUCGAGAUGCAGAAAGAACUGCUGCUCAAGCAGAAUACAUUCGCCAAACAGGAAGAAUCCCAUCAUCUCGUUGCAUGUGUUGUGGAUGGUUGUCAUAAACUCGUAAUAUAAUAAACAAUGAAUAAAAGCAAAAUUGCUCAUGCUCUUGUACACUUAUGACGAGUAUUAGCGGAUGGUCAAUGAAUUUUGUAUUUAGAAGUGGCCUUAGUUUUUAUGUCUUUACAUCGAAAGAUGAAAUGAAUAGUGCAAUUGAUGCAGAUAAUGCCAAUAGUAUUUUCACACCAUGGGGAGAGACUCUUGUUCCAAAUAAAUCUUGCAUAAAUCCUUCCUUAUCUUUGUUUUUGAAAGGAAAACGAUUACACAAAGGAAGAAGAAAAAUUGCAAAUUAUUGAAGGAGAUCUAAACAUGAAGGAAGAAUCUUGCACGCAUCUGGAAAGUAUCUAAAUAGAAGACUAGUUUCAAGAAUUUAAAGGAAGCAUUUUGGAAAUGAAUCAUGUCGAUACAAGAGAAUAUUAUCAUCUUUAAAUCGUAUCUUUAACAUUAUUUGAAAAUGUAAAAUGUGUUCUUAAGGUCGUUAUUUUCUUUAUGGGCUAUGUCUCUCCUUGCCAACGGUUAAAGUUCAAUUGGUACUGGGCUGUUGGUCAUUUUAAAAGGGGAGGCACUGAUGUAGUGGUGCUUAAGUCAGCCCAACGGGCAGGAAGUGGAAGCAGUCUUUAUGCUCCAUAUGCUGCAAUGGUUUAGUCAGCUUAAUAUUGGUGCUAAAGAGUCCGGACACGGUUCAGAUCGGCCUGUAGCCUUGAAGACUUGGGCUACUGUCCAGUCAACAAAACUAUCCUCGGUUUCUCUAGACUUGAUAGGAUCCGCACUGGUCAGUACGUGUUGUUGGAAUCUAUAUGGCUUGAAAAGUGCCUUGGUAAAAAAUGGGUCCCUGGCAAAACAUGCACGCUGGGAAUUCUCUCUGGUUUUGGCUUCCGCUUAAGCAAACAUUUGAGCUUGUUCAACUCUCUUUUACCACUUUGGUUCUGUGUGUAAUGGCCUGAUGGGUUAAAUCCCCUUUGGUAAUAGUAAUAAUCUAUACAUCAGUAGCUCCUAUUUAAUCUGAUUGGUUCUUGCUAGCCGAUUUCUGUAAUAAUUUUCUGCUUCACGCCUAUGGAAACCGUACCAAUUUACCAAGGAAUUUCUGAUUCAUGGACUUGGUUUGUGUCAAGCAUAUUCUUUUAGGGACAGUGACUUUCUACGUCAAGUUUCCCACCACAACUAAUCUUGAACCUCUCUCCUUUAGAUGACUUUCGCUUUUGCAAUUGUACCAUGCAUUUCUUUUUAUGAAUGUUGCUGAAAGUAUUCAAGGUUGAAAAGAAAAGAAAUGACUUUUAUGAUAGAUUCAGACAACUCAAAAUGUCAAAAGUAGAAAAGAGAAGUGAAAAGAACAUCAAAAGAGCAGUUGUCUGAGUCAAAAACAAGAACAUAGCUUUAAUGAAACUAAACUUGCUAUACUAUGUUCAUUUCUUUGUUUUUCAUAAACAAGGGUUCCAUUACUCUCCAAGGGUUGAAUGCUAAGAGAAUUGGCUUAAAUCUGACUGAUCUUGGGAGUACAGAAAAGAAAAGGGUCAUAAACUAUCAUUUAGGACUCAAACCUGCAAUGUACAAAAAAUAUUUGAUAGACAAAUAUACACAAGAUUUCUGUUGUUAAACAAUAUCUUCAAUCUUCUCCACAUUCACGGAGGAGGGAAUGAAAAGUUCAGUCAUAUAAAAGCUGACAUCUAAUGAAUUUGAAGUUGAAAUCUCAACAAAUCUAGAGUUAUGGUCUCUUUCAUACCAAAAAAAAUGGUAAUGAAGGAAAAUAAUUGACAAUCUUAGGAAAACAACUCUCCCUCACCACUGGCAAAUCUCUUACAACUAAAAUAAAAUUUUUUAUUACUUAUGUCACGGAAAUCUUAAAUCUCACAUCGAACAUAAUAGGAAGGUCACUGAGAUAUAAAAGUGUUCACACCAUCUUUUUUUUGUGAGAUGUUUUUUGUAGGAUAAAACCGUGAGAUUAGGGGAUUAGAGCCAACAAUAUCUCAUAGGUGUAAACCGUGACAAAAAAGCUGAUCUGAGACGUCGGAUGAGUGGAUGCGUGAGUCUUGGAAUCGCGCGGGUUCGGAGCUUAAGUCUCGACCCGUGACACUUGCAUGCCAACCCAAAAAUGAAUACCAAUUGCCAAGUGCCAGUGUCACACGGGUCGAGACUUAAGCUUUGAAUCUGCGCGGUUUCGGGACCCAAACAUUCACUCUUCUGACAUCUCAGAUCAGCUUAACUGACACAGUUCACAUCAUUGUGAGAUAUUGUCUACUCUGACCCCUUUGACCUCACGAUUUUAUCUUACAAAAAGUACCUCACAAAAAAAAAAUUAUGUAAAUCUUUUUAUAUCCUGAUAACUUUUUUAUUAUAUUCGAUGUGAAAUUCAAAAUUCUUCCUUAAAUCCAAGACACCAACACACAUAUAAUUCACAUAUAUUAAAGGAACGUUUCUUUUUGGCCAUGUUACAUGCUUGGCAGAACAUUGGGUCAAGCAAAAGUUUUGAUGGAGUGCAAGUUAAAGGAAAGAGGACAUCCUUCUCACCCCCCACCUAAACUAAAGGGCUUUGGGCAGAGGUUGUUGGAUUGCCAACCCAACUCCUUUAAUUUUAAUUGGUACUAUUAUUGUUUAUGGGAGCCCCACCUUUUGUCACCAUUGCAUUCCUCAACUCAAGUCCUAUCUAUUGUCAAAUGCCCCACAACAUGCAAUCACAAAAACACAAAACUAACCCUUCAUUUCCACCUUUAGGCUGUGGCCAGUACUCGCCACCCAGUCCCACAAACCCAAAAAGGAGACCUCAACUAAUAUCUCCUCUCUCUCCCUACCCUUUCUUUAAAUUCAUUGAAUUUUAUCCUCUUGAGUAAAUGGGAAUUUGGUAGAAAUUCCCAUGAAAUUUGCUUGUGGACAUGUCAGGUCUACCGACAUAAAGCUGGCCCAUAAAUUCGGCUACGAAUUAUUGGAAACCUUCCAUUUCAUCUGCUGCAUUUGAUUCCGCUUUUUUUUUUACUUGAAUUCCAGAUGAAGAGAUAGGAAAGGCAACUUCAACGUUUUUCUAGCGAUUUGUAGGGUUCUCUUGCCAUCCUCAUUUGAGUUGCAGCAAAAUUUCCACCUCUAAAACAUGUAGUCACAAUUUGGUGAGACAGAAUUGGAGCAGAUAUGUUUUGAUCAGCUGCCUCUAAAGAGUCUCUGAAGGCAUAAAAACAUGUCCUAGGUACGAUGUUUUACACCUCGAGAGACUGGUUUUUUGUUGUCUUACUGAUCUUCAGAAUCUUUUCAAAUUGCUUUACAAUACCAUCCCAAAGAUGGUUAUAUGAUCAUAUAAUCAUUGUUGUUUAGAUGAACUGCAAUGGAAUUAUCAAAUAUUUCCAAGUCUAGGUGCCAUCAUUUAUUUAUCCCUCCUCAAACAACCCCGACACUCGACCUUUUUUUUCUUACCAGGAUAUGUUUGAAGGACUAGUCUCCUUUUCAUCAAACAGGAGACUGCCAGAAACGAUGGCAUAUGUCUCCCCUUCAGUUAGGAUAUUGACAAACGCUCUAGAUUGAUGAGCUGAUGAUGAUAGUGAAAGCAGGGUUUGUGUUCACUUUUCAGAAGUUGGAACAAAACAAGAAAAGGGGGGCCAUUUUCACACUAAUGGAACGCAGAAAUGGUUGGUUUUUGACAACUACUUUUAACUAUAAGGACCAUCACGUGGCUCUUGGAUUUACUAGCCAUCCAAUUUCAUACCAGAUAGGAACUUUUAUAACUUGGGAAACUUCAAAAAUUGUUCAACAUCAGCUUGCUUCACGAAUAUUGAAAUCCUAAUAAAUAUGGAUUGUACAUAUUUCAACAACAUAGGAGACAAAAAUCUCUUAUAAUUACAGUAUUAGCUUAUAUAUAAAAACUUCAAGCUUGAGUUAGGCAGCUCUUUCCACCUACUAUAAAAGGGUUGCAAGAGACGCUAAUAUUAAAGGAGAAAAACAGUAUCUUAACCCGUCAAAUUGUUCAGUAGUCCAAAGACCCCGCAGAAGCAAUACCAGAGCUCAAAUUUCUCGAGUCCUGCCGGCUCACAUAGUCAUCACAGCUGCCAUUAGAGAGCCUCUGAACUGGGACAGAGUUUAGAAGCUCCAGGCCUCGUUUGCCCAUUUGCUGCACUUCUUGAGGUGAAAGUAUCUUGAUACACCAGACACUGUUCACAAACUCCCUGGGGGAAGGGGGAAAAAAAGGGAAUUAAGUCCGGAAUUAGAAAAUGAAGAAGUUAGCAUGUUGAACCUCAAAAUAGAUUUAAAUGCAUGCACCCAAAAGGGUUGAAAUUUACCACACUAAGUUUACAUAUAUGUGCAUGUCAAAAGAAUUUUUAUGAUAGAAUGCAACAAUUUCAUAUGCUAAAUGGUCCAAAGAACUCGAAAUACAUCCUAAAGUUGAGACAAAAUUAUAUCCAUACAAUAAUAGUAAGCAGAAUGGAAACUUACGGCCAGGGGUCAUCACCGAGGAGAAGAACAUCAUUCUCCCGGUCAACAAAUACAAGCUGCCAGCCUGAUCUCAAAGGGUCCUCCAACUGGCCUUCAAGGCCAAACAAGCGUGCAAGUUCACUGCGCAGCUCAUUAUAGCUGCUGAAUUUUGAGAUAUCAAGUGACCUCCCAAAGGACCCUGAUUUAUAAACCUGUUCCAUAGCAAAAAUAUUCACAUCAAUUACCAAGAAUCAAUAUAAUUUUAUCUGAAAAACAAGGACAACAAAACUGCCAACAUAUCAAACUUGCAACAUGUAAAGGAGAACCAAAGUUCACAAACCAAAUUGAACUCAUAAAACCAACCAAUUCAUUAAUCUACAAAUAUAUAUUACAAACAAAAGGCAACUGACCUUAACAAAGGUUCUAGUUUGUGGGUUUCCUUGGCCCACGUUUAAUGGAGACUGCAAGAAUCCUGAUUCAUCAAUGUAACUGGAAGGUGUCAUUGCGGGAUUAACUGAAAAAUCAGUGCCAGUAGUACUCAUAUAAUUAGGAGAGAAGAGCAUAGUAGUGGAGUCACUAUCGCUGCCAACUCCCCUAAGGCUUGACAUCCCAUUUUGCAUUAGAAGAGAUGAAGGCUCUAUAUUAACACCAAAUAAGAGAUGGCUCUGUGGAUCGAUACCCCCUUCUUGGUCUAUCGAGCACUCCCUGCCAGGAAAGGGUGGCAAUGAAAUGGAAUUUUGAGACAUGUUUGUCUGAGGUGGCCCCAACUGUUCCACCUGGGUUAGAACGCACUGUGGAGAUCCAGAUGAGAGAACUUCAACAGGAGCCCGCUUAGAGGGCCAUGCAGCAGAAGUUAUUACAGGGUUGGAUCCAGGCAAGUUGGGCAGAUUGGACGAUUCAUCUUGGGAAAAAGAACCCAAAAAACUAUGCAAAGGAGAUACAAUAGGGCUGGCCACAGGGUUCCCAUUUGAAUCAGAAAAGCUCUGUUGAUGGCAUAGUGAAGAUAUGGCUUGCAAAGAUGAUGACUGGGAUUGAGAGGCUGAAGCAUACAGUGACACGGCAGACACUACACUAGAAAUCUGCUGAUGAUCAACAAGUUGCCGGUGUUGCUGUGACAGUGGUUGCUGUGGCUGCUGUUGAUUAUUAAAUGAAUUCUGCUGCUGCAGUUGUUGCUGAAGAAGAUGUGGCUGUGUUUGAGCCUGAGCCUGAGGCUGAGACUGAGAGUGAUGCUGGUUGUCUUCAACACCCUGAAGAAAGGCCUGAGGCUGAGACUGCUGCAACAUCUGGGGCUGCAUUAAAGCAGCAGGCCUGCAGGGUAGAUUUUGGGGUUGCUGGAAUUGCAGAAGCGAUGCAGUUGCUGGUUUGGAAGGAUCCACAGCUCUCAUCUCUUGCAGUGCAGCAGCAGCCAUAGCUUGGUACAUGUCAGUCUGCAAACCCAUCAUGGAAGCAUCCAGCCUCGGCUGCAUCCAUGGUGUAACUCCAAUCCCCUGAAAAUUCAGAGACCGCAUUCCUCGAUCUGCAUCUCCACGUAGCCACAUAAAUGGAGAAUUCAUGCCUAGAUCAUCAUCCUUGAUGCCUAAGAGCAAGAGCAAGUCAAAUUAAAAAGAAUAAAAAUGUUAAAGAAUUACUUACAAAUAAAAAGAAAUAACCUUUUUUAUGUUCAAAUUAGACAGAGAGGAGAUAAGAGAAGUAAAGCAGGUAGUUGAAGCUUCACAGCCACAGAUAUAGCAGCAGACUAGCAUACCAUGGAAAGAAGGUAAUCCCGGUGGCCAUGGUCUCUUAAGCCUUAAAGGAAAUGGAGAUGGAUACAUGGGGAAUGUUGUCAAUGGUUCAAUCUCCCACAAGGAAACUCUUGGCUGCCUUUCUCCAGCUGUUGAUUCAUCCCAGCCAACCUGCAUGAACAAGUUAAAUUUCACAAAGUCUCAUCACCAUAGAUAGAAAAUCUAAAACAACAAAUCUGCAAGGUUCUCAAUAAACAAAUGAUAAAGGCAAUCAUUCUCAACACACCUUGACUGAUCGCCAAUGUGAAUUUGGCCACCGAACAGGAUCUAAGUCACUUAUGCCAGUUAUAGUGCCCAUGUAUCUGGGAAAUGCACAACCAUCAGAUUCAAAGUCCAUAAUGUUCACAAGUAAACAUACAAGAUGGGACACAGAACAAAGAAAGAGAAAAGUGAUCUGUUAGAUGAUCAAAAAAGGCAUUAGGAAAGUGCAUAAAUGAAACAACAGAUCUAACUUCAACAGAGUACUAGCUGCAAUUUAAUCCUUUUGUAAGGAAAGCCCGUCAGACAUCAAGCCACUGUUAAAAGAAUGAUAAUCUAAUUCGUUUGCAAGGAAAGCUACUUUAUACAGCAAGAAUCAACCAUUAAAAGUUAAAGGGUUUGAAACUUACCGACGAACACUUGAUUCCUCAGUUUCAAACAGCAUUCUAAAGCGCAUACCAACAGACACUCGAGUAUGAUAGACAGCUUUGAUAUAUUUUGCCAGCGGUAUAACAAAUUCUGAUGGACUAGCCCUGAAUUGAAGGAGAAUAAGUUUAGAUGGGCUGAGAAAUCACUAAGCAGAACACUUUAAUGAUUACCGAGAUGCACAGCAAUGGCACCAUACCUUGGGUUAUAAAAUAUAGUGAAACGGCUAUUUGUUGCAGCUGCAUGAGCAGCAGCAGCAAGAAGCCCUAAGUGCAUGCUAUCGCUUGAUAAAACUGAUGAAGGCAUUACAGUUUGAGGUCGAUUAGCUCGUCGGAUACCAAGAAGCAAUUGAUUUUUUUCAUUCCUGUCAAAAUAACCCAAAUGUUGGUUUAAGCAUCAAAUACCAACAAUCUACAACAAAAGCAAUUUAAAGAGCCACAAAAAGUUGUAGUAAAGGCAAAAAGCAAGAGAGAGAUAGAGAGAGCAUUCUCCAUAUCUGCACCCUUCACAUAACAUGUGAGGAGAAGAAAUGGUUCCCCAAAACUCAGCUAAUGGACAUGUACCAAAACGAAUAUUAUAUCAUGCUUUUUCAUAGAAAUUCAUCAGUGUUUCUUUGGCUAAGCAUCUGAGAAAAGAAGGAAAAAAAAAGUACCAUAGCUGUAAUUCUCAAGAAAAAAAUGUUUUUGCAAGCAAGAAUGCAAACUUCAGCUAAAGAACAGCUUGAAUUAUCCAUUUUGGACAUGAGAAUGCUAGACAAAUCUAAAUCCACUCUGUUCUGAUGCAAGUGGAAGCACGCUAAAAUGGAAGACAAGCCAGAUACCUACCAGAUAAAAAGCACUGAAUCACCCGCAACUAGUCUUUUAGCACUUACAAAUACACUCCAUCCUGUUGUCAAGAGGUGCCUUUUGGGCUGGCCUGCAUGGUACAAGUCAAUGAUUGUAAGUUAAGUACAAUUUACUCUUAGGGCAAUUUGAUGGUGGGAAUUUAACCUCCAUAUGGCAUACAUGACAGAUAAUCAACAGUAGCGACAAUUAUAAUUAAGGAGUGCCAAUUGUCUAAGUGAAGGUUUCUGAUGACUUCUUCAGCACAAAUGAUAAGUUAAAAUGCAUUUCUCUACAACUUUACAAAGGCAUAUGAAGCUAAGAAUUGCAUUCCUUGCGAAAAAGAUCCAUAUUUGAAGAGCAAAAGGGGAUUCUUAUAAACAAACCCCGAAAUAUAUGCCUAAAUUUCCAUUCAUUAUCAUGCAAGUCCCUUGCAAUCAACUCUUGAGCUGGAGGCUGCAGGGAGAAAUCCUGCAGGCAAUCAAUAGCAUAAAAUUAGAAAUAAAACACUGUGAAAAGACAUCAACACUUAUAGUGGCAACAGUUUACCAGUGGAGGAAACACUUUUUCAGCUGCUCGGCGAGGAACAGAGAACCCUCCAUGAGUGCUUGUGUCACUGGCUGUUAAUGUUUUACAGAAAUAGUUUGUGGGCUGUUUGCUGGGAGUGCCCAAUUCUGCGGGUAGGUAAGCCUCCUUUUGUUCUUGCUGUAGAAAAAGUAAUCUUCAAUGCUUGAAGCAAUAAAAAAGACUGACAAAAUCACAAUGAGAACCCAGAAAAGAUAGCAUACCAGACUCAGAGGCUGCAAGGUCAUUUGUGCAUAUACUUCAUCUGUCUCAACAUCUGCCUGAAGUUGACAAAUUUUUAGGCUUCAGAGACAAGUCUAUAGGAAGAUAAAGCAUCAGAAAACCAAACUAAACAAGCCAUACAUGCAUGGUGACAUUAUGAAGCUGACAAAUAAGUUGUGGAGGUAAGCUUGGAUAGUUAGGUAUGUGGGCAUCCACUUCCUUGUUGGUUGAUGCAGCUACCUACAAAGAAAACCACCAAUAUAUGCGUCAAAAAGCUUGUUUGGUUACUGAUAUGAUGUCUAAUUAAAUAGAAUGAACCACCAUACUUGUAAGGAACCAGAUUAAUGAUUUCAACCAAUAUAUUUGAUAUGCUGAUGACUCUAAGAUACAGUCAGGCACAGAGCAAAACACAAUACAGAGAAAGGGGAGAUCACUAUCAACACCUUAAGUUGUCUCAAAAGAGUUUUACAUAAAACGUAUGUGUUUGAAACAUGCUCUGCACACGUAUAACAAAAGUACAGGACUAAUAAUCAGCAAUUAUUAGUCAAAUAUGUACUUAUAUACCAAUCCUUGGCAAAAAGAAAAUAGUUUUCAAAGUUUAAAUAUAAAGAACCAACAUAAUUAACAGGAUAUAUAUCAUACAGCAUAAACACCAGAGUAGACUAAAACUCUGGAAGAAAGCCAUUCCAGCUCCACCAAAGAGUGAAAGCACCCUUCACAAAAGCAAGGAUUAUCACUCAAUACAGACAUUACAUUAGUUCAACCAGGUUUAAUUUGACACAAUUCCCUAUGAUCCAUGGCCCGACAAGCAUUUUAAAAUGAAAUAACCAAUGGUUCCCACCACAUAGGACAAACUUUUUUUUUUCAUAGCAACCAUGAACAACAGCCAUCCAUGGUCUACCCUCACAAGGUGGGUUGUAAAGGUUGGGGAUCAACCAUCUCGGUUUCCCAGGUAUUUGCAGCAACCAAUACAUGAAUAUUGCAAGUUUUUAAUGUUGGCAUAAGAGUCUGAUAGGAAAGCAAUAUGGGAAAAUUAUACAAAAUUCCAGACCAGCAAAAAAUUCUGGUUUAACUUUCCAGAAAUAUAAACCUCCCUCCAUAUUACAACAAUAAAACUUGAUUUGAAAUUGUUAUUAAAAAAAGGCCAACAGGGUAAAAAAGGAUAAGGUAUGGUAUAAAACUCAAGUCCAGUAAGAUCUACUGGAGCAUCAACUCUGGUAACAAAAAAAGCUGAAGAGUAGGAGUCAGGAAGGUUUGAUCGCGCAAAUGGCCAUACCCUAAAAUUGUAUUUGGUGCUAAAAAGAGACAUUUGAAGAUCACCCUUACGUUAUUUACACUUUUAAAUUAAUAGGAAAAGGGCAGUAAUGAUGAUAUGAUGCAAAAUAACUUUUUGACUUUUUCCUUGGCCAAGAUAGUGAAACAAUAUUCAUAAUUUAUUCUUCAUGAAGCAAACGCAAGUUGAUACACACAUAACAUCUGCAGUAAACAAAAUCUGCUUAAAAUUCAUUAUUAAGAACAAGCUAAACCCAAAUCCAAGCAUACUAACCUGUUCACUAUGACCCUGUGGGAAAUAAACAACCCUACUUCCGACCGGAGGUAGACAAACAAGAGGACCCGCACAUGCAUGCCAAAGUUCAGAGUUCAGAACUCUCUUCUCUCCUGCAAAGUCUAUUUUGCAUUAAAGUAAAACUACUUCAACAAAAGUAAAAGAGAGAAAAAAAGAAAUGAAGAAACUGAACUUAAAUUGAUUACAAACCCCAAAUUAGUGAAUUAAAAAUGUCAUCUAGAGAUCAAAGGAUGCCAAAACAUAAAAAUUCCAAACUUCAACAAAUAUGGGUAUGCAACUAUGCAUUAAACUCCAAAAUAACGCUUGAUCAUAACACACACACACACACCCACACACACACACAACACAAAACCCACAUACGACGUGAAAAAGACACAAAUUCAGUAAGACAUUUACCAUAUUGAACCUCAGCUUGUCAUAGAGAAAACGGUGGAUGAAAUCAAAGUUGAAAAAAAUUUGAAAACUUCUUCACCCCGGGCAAAAUUAAAAAAAAAAAGAAAUGAAUUAAUAAAGAUUCAAUCAAACAAACAAAAGGAAUUGGGCUAUCCUACUGUGGCUUCGCAUUUGAGACUUGGGAAAUCCAAAUAAACUGGAGUUAGUGAUCUGGGGUUUAACAUUUUAAGGUUUCAGCUUUUCCUACAUUUUCUCAAGCCACAAACAAAGCCAAUAGACAUCCAAAAUUCUACAACCACGUUUUAUCCCCCUUCAACUCUCCCAAGAAACUCAAUCUAAUCCUUAGAAAAAUGAGGAGGCAAAAAGGAGAGAAACAGCAACAAAGAAGCAUACCUUCCUGAGUUUGGGGAUUGAAACCAGCUGAAGAAAGCUUCAUUUUUUUUUUCUGAAUAAAUUUAACAAUACCUUUAAGUCCCAAGUUUAGACCCUCAAGAAAAAGAUUCCCCACCCCAAAAACCCUUCCUUUAACCACACCAAUUAAGCACCUAAAUCCUCCAAACAAGGACACGCACAAUCAAAUACCCUUCUUUUUACUCCUUUCUCUCCACAAGAAACACCAUGCCUUAACAAGAACCAGCUCCAAUUGAGAAAAAAAAAAAGCUGACAAUUCACCCGUCAAAGAAGAGAUUUUAAAAACAACACAAAAACAAAAAGCCCCAACCCCAAGAGUUCUUGCCUUUUUUUGUUUCAACCGAAACCGGUUUUACUACAAAAGACAAUUGCUUUCAGCCUCAUCCGCCUCCUAUCUUCUUCUUCUCCACCCAAAAACCCCCAAGUGUUCUUCUCUUGAACCACAACCUUAAUGCUAAAACAACAACAUAAUCUUUUUUGUGUUAUGUUCCAACACUUUAGCCCCACAUUUCACCUCCCAAAAACAAAGACUAUUGAUCCUUAAAGUGUGAACAAAAACACCAGCUUUUUCUUUUGAGUUCCUUGAAGCUAGUAACCACUAACUCCAGCAAGCAAGAAAUACCCAACAGAUCUCAGCUUGAAAGAUAACGAUUUUUCAAACCUCUCAUCAAUAAGUUUCUUUUUUAACAAAGAAAACCCAGAUCUUUGUUCUCACUCACAAACCCAAAAAAAAAUGAUUCAAAGUGUACAAGCUAUAAGAACCAUAUAGUACUAUUAUUAUUACUCAUGCAGAUGGGUUUUCUUCUCUCAAAGCUUUCUCUCUCUACUUUGUGCAGUCCAACUGUGUUCAAAAGAGGUGUUGGGUAUUUAUAGAUAUUUUGCAGAAGAAUAUAUGUUUUAUUAUAUCUAUGGUUGAGGAUUUUAAAGAUUUAGAAAUCUCUACUGGUUUUUAAGGUACUGGUUUUUAAGGGCUGGGGCUCUUUUUGUUUCCAGUAAUGGAAAUCAUGGUGGUCUGAUGCUGAGUGCUGACUAGUGGGAGAGAGAAGGAGAGAGUUCCCUGCUGCUUACUACUUUGUACCAUUCACUGCUCUUUACCUUUGCCGUUUGCUUUUCUUUCUCUCUUUCUACUGUUGUUUUGCUCCUCCAACCAAUGAACACGCAACCGUCGUUUUUUUUAUGGGCUGUCUUUUUUUAUACAUCAGUGAAAAAAAAAAUAUGAGCUAAGAAAAAGUGUCCGGAGAGAGAGAAAUUGUCAGAUUAUUUUUCAUACAGGGAAGGGUUUUUUGGAGGUGAUUAAAUUGCCCUUGAAUACUUGAACAAUUACUAAGGAACCAUUUUCUAUUCACCAUUUUUUUUUUCUCUCAACUAGUAGUAAUUUUUCUGAUACAUCAUAAGAAUUUUACUUUUGCAGCAUUACGAAUUAUAUAAUAACAUUUCAAAAAAAUUUUAUUUUAAAUAUAUUUUAAAUUUAUGUUUGAUGUUUGUCAGUAAAUGUUAUAUAGUAUUUACACUUUAACACUACAUCAAAUAUAAAUAUAUUUAUUUUUAAAAUUUUAAAAUUAAUUUUUUAUAAAAUAUUAUUAUUAUUUAAUUUACUGAUAUUGUAUAACAUCAUUUCUGUGAAAUGAUUGAGAGAAUCAUUGAUCAUGAGCUAGUGAGCUUUCUAAAUGCAGAAGGCCUACAUAGAAGCCCAACUGCAAAGUCCAACGUAGUGGAAGUGGCAUGAAUAGUUUAUCUUUAUAGCAUCAUAAGCCAAAAUUUUUUUUAAGAAAAAUGAGGUGAUGGUGAUUGAUGAAUGAGUAGUAUUAAACCAUGGAUAAGAUAAAGAGGAACAUUUAUUUUAGGUUCAAUUAUUCACAUGAAAUUAGUGUUUGUAUUCUUAUAAUGGAUAGGGAUGGCUCCUUUGCAAGAAUUAGAAAAGUAGUACCAUGUUAGGCACUUCUUUUAUGAACAUUUGACAAUAGCAUGUUCUUUUUCUCAAUUUCGAUUCAUCGAUGCUCCGAAAUAUUAAAUUGAUAAAAAUAUUUUUAAAAAAUAACAUUUAAUAUAGUAAAUUUAAAGUUUAAAUUUUAAUAAUUAUAAUUUUUUUUAUUAUUGGAGACGAUUUCUUUUAAAUAUAUAUAAAUAGAUAUGUGAUAAGAUGGAUAUUUACAAAUUUUUUUCUAUGAUUGGAUCCCAUCAAACCAUGAAAAUGUACCAUUUGUGGUGGCAUUAUUAGGGAAAUUAUUAUGAGUUUAGGGUCCAUCUCAUUUAAACUCAAGGAGGGAUUACAUCCUUUCAUAGGGUCCAUCCAGUCAAGAAAAACAAUUUGUUUCUGAUUUUUUCCUUUCAUGCAUGGUUAGUUAGAAAGAUUGUUGUCAGCUUUGUGGUAUUUUUGAGGAACCUUCCAUUUCUUCAAUUAAGAUAAUCCAGUUUGAGCUGACAUUUCUUUUUCUAGGAAUCUUGAUCCAUAUCUAAGCAUCCCAUAAUAGACCAUAUCAAAAUAUUCAAACUUUGUGAAAUUUCUCAUUCAUUUCCUGAAUUUUUUCUGCUACUUUUAUAAUGUUUAGCUUGUAUUUAUCUCCUUGUAGGGUUUGUGAAAUUACUCAUCUCCUAAAUGUUAAAGAUUUUGGCAAAAAAUAAAUAAAUAAAUAAAUAUAUUAAAAUAAUUAUAUGAUUUUCCAAGUUGCAAAGGUUGAUGCUUCUUAUCUUGAAACACUGGCAGUGCUUUAUUGAAGAUAAUUUUCAUAGGUUAAAUGAUGUUCAGGAAAAUCCAACAACUUGCCAGUUGCCAGUUCAAAAGUGCAUUUAAAAUUAGAAAACUUUAAAGGUUCACAGGAAUAUAUGCUUGAGAACUAGAUUUGCUAUGAAUUCGGACUUUAGUUUAGUUUAUUUAUAUAAUUAUUUUUAAAAUCAUAUGACAUUUAAAAUUUUUUUAUUCAAAUCAUAGCAUAUGCAAUUUAUUUUUUUAUCUUUAAAUUAUAAUUUUUUGUGUAAUACUACAUACAAAAAAUGCUAAAUGUAUAAUUGAAGCCAACUAGUACAAUUUAAGACUUCAUUAAAAGCAUAAUUACUCAUGAUUAUAUAAGAUUGUAUAGAUAUAUAAUGUUCUAUUAAUUGCAUAAAGUUUCCUAAUUCCUACCAAAAAAAAAUUGCAUAAACUUAUGACUAAACCUCAAUAAUUUCAUGAGGUGGGUAUCAAUAAUUCAGUAUUAGAUCAGAGAAAAUAAUUUUUUUUUUCAAGACAAAUCAUGGAACCUAGAUCUUUUCAAUCCAUUGUGUAUUAUUAAGGGUCCAGGUAUCUUCCCAUGGUAUAAAUUGUAAAACUUAAAAUAUACAAAUUUAAUUUUACAAUUUAAAAUCCAAACAAGUGGGGUUAAUUUCAUCUGGUGGGUAUCAAUAAUGCAUGCAUAUCCAUAAUAAAAAUAAUAACCGCUUCGUACAUGAAUGUAAAAAGAUUUUAUAUGUGUCCUAUUUUAGUACUUUUUGCAUAGAGAUGACAAUGAAUCGAGACGAAUUUUUUUGUUCGUUUUGAAUCUAACUUAAUUUUAUAUUUUUAAUAUUUAAAUUUAAUUUGAUUUAUUAUUAUAUAAAAUCGUAAUUAAUAUAAUAUAAAAUUAAUAAAAUAUUAUUUUUAAAUAUAUAUAAUUAAAUAAAUAUAUAAAUAUAAAAUUAAUUUAAUAAUAAAAAAUAUUUUUUAUAUACUCAAGUCAGGUCAAUGAAAUUACCUAAAAUCUAAUCUCAAUUAAUAAAAAAUUAAUCUUAUAAAAUCAGAUAAAAUUAAAAUUUAAUGAGUACGGAUUGAAAUUCCAUCCUUACCUUUGCAACUAUAUUUUCUAGCAAUCCAUAAAAAAAAAUACACUAGGAAGAUCUGAAAUAAAAAAGAAUCAUCAUCGUCGUCAUAAUAAAUUAUCACGCACAAAAACCAGUAAAUAUUUGCCUGACCCACAUUGAGUUGGGUUGAUCUCUCAAUUAAUGUUCAUUUGGCAGGAACUUCCCAACUGGCUUAGAGGUUUGGCCACCAUUAUUUUUUUUCCAUUACAAGGAUGAGGAUAUGCCUUUAAAUCAUUCAUUAUAUAUUUUUAUCAAAUUGCAAAUAAAAAAAUCACAUGGUUCCCACUUCCGGUUUACUACCAAAGCUCUAUUGCCUCACGCAAAUAAAGAAACAUUACUGCGAUUUUUUUUUCUUCAUCUCUCAGCAAACUUCCCAUUUCAGUAAUUAAACAUGGCUUGUCUUUCUCCCAACCUUGAUUAGGGGAACUUAGCUGGUCCAAUUAUGAAACCCUACAUUAAUGUUACUUUCAUUAAGGUGUAAUGGUGCCAUGAUUUAAACGCAACCAUGCACGUAGACAUAAACCAAACUUUUGUAUUACAUUUCCUUUUAAGUAUCACAUGUACCAGCUAGCGACACGUGCGUCUAAAAUUAAUUUCUUAAAUUUUGCAAUUCUCCCCACUUCCGAUAAUGCAAUAAGAUGAGAUGAGAGUAGACUAUAUUAACUUUACAACAUUUAAAAAUGGAGUUUGUUACUAUAAGUAAAAGGGUCGGUAUAGUUAAUUGCUACCCUUCUAAUGAUCCUUUUUAGAAUGUAUAUUAAUCCUGAUUUUAUAGUUGUAGUCUGGAGUAAUCACCAAAAAAAAUAUUUUUUGGUACAAAAAAAUCGUAAUUUGAGAAUAAAAAAAGAUUUAAAAAUAUUGAGAUUUAAUUAAAUUUCAGAUUUAUUAGAUAGAAGUGAGCAAAAGACAAUUUAAUCAAUUAAAUUGAUCGAAAUUAAGUGAUUUCGGUUGAUUUGGUUCAAUGUAUUCGGUUUUGGCUAUAAUUAAUUUUUUAAAUUGGUUAAAUUAGUUAAUUCAGUCGAUUUUUUAUUUUUAAAAUUGAUAAUCAAAUUGAUUGAAUUAAUCAACUUUUUAAUAAGUAAAAGUAAAAAAAAUUGAGAUAAGCAUUUUUUUCUUUUAAAAUAUUGUUAAAAUUAUUAAAUUCUUUAGGGAUUUGUUUAAAUGAUAUUUAAGUUUUAUUGAAUUAAUUUUAUGAUUAAAUAAUUAUUCAUAAUAGAAAAAUAUAAUAAAAAUUUUUUUGUUUAUUUAAUCAAACCGACCAAAUCGAAUCGAUUUUGAUCGAUUCAGUUAUAAUUGUUUAUUUUAAAAAAUUUUAUCAAUUUGAUUAUUUGUUAAAUAAAAAUUGAUUAAAUUAAUUAUCGAUUUUUUCAAAUUGAACUGACCGAAUUGAUCAAUUAUUCACUUCUACUGUUAAAUAUUAUUUUUUAAGAAUAAUUAUAUAAAUUAAUUAAAUUAAAAUUUAUAACGAUCUAAAAACGUAAAAUUUUGAAACUAGACAUCAUUCAUUAACAUUACUAAUAUUUUUUUUCCCUAAACCUCUUGUCUGGUAAAAUUAUAGAGUUAACUUUUAUUGUAAGAAUAUACACACAUCUUUACUUUGGGGGAGGUGUAAAAUCAACUCAUGACUAUUAUGAUUACUUUAUCUAAUAUCCAUAUAUAAAUAUAUUAGAUUAAAAUUUGUCAAAAAAGAGGAAUAAUUAACUAAAUCUAGUGCCAAACCUCCCUUUUAAGAAAAGAGAUUCUUGAUUCAAAUUAUUCCCCUUCCAAACUUUCACCCAAAAAAAAAAAAAAAGUAAAGAAGAAAAAGGGGUCCAAAGGCAAAGGCUAGGGAUUAAAUUUUUGUAUAUACAGUGGGGUUGGGAAAGAUUUAGCAUAUAACAAGCAUUGGGGUUUUUUAGUUCCACUAGAAGCUUUAAUUUGGCUUUUCAACCUAGAGGCUAGAAGAUUUGUGAUAUUCCUCCAUUAAAAUGACUAGAUUCUAGGAUUUUUAAAGAAUUGUUAAAUAAUUAUUAGUGCAUGUAUUAGAAUGAAAUUGGACCUCUUGGAAUUUCAUAAUUAAAUCCCAUUAUGACCACCAAAAUUUAAUUAUAUAUUUUGAUUAAAAUUUAAUCAUAUGAUGUAUCUUUUAACUCGAUUAAAAUGCUCUCACCAUGGUUCAAAAUGGAGCCUAAGUCAUUUAAAUAUUAACUUAUCAAGAAACGCCCAUGGUGGAAAAAACCCACAAAUAAAGUUGGAGUAGAAACCAUGUCCCUUUCAAGCCCUAAUCAUUUUCUUAAUCAUAGCAAUAUUUUUUUUUACUAUAAUAUUUUGCUUCUUGAAUUCUAUUGCUUUUUUAAUCCUUUUCAAUAAUAUAUAAAAUAUUAAGAAAAGCCACUUGUCUUUUUUUUUCCCCAAUUUUCUCUUUGUUGCAUUUUUCUUCCUUUUUUUUUUCUUUAUGGAAAUUUUUGGUGAAAAAAGGAGUCCAAGAAAAUGACACUUUUUUCUUUUCCCGGUCCCUACGCUUGUUAACGAGAAUCAUGAUGAAGUCAAAAGGUAAAUCAUCUUGUGUUACGGUCAAAGAUUAGAGGGCACUAAUUCAGUGGCAUUGCAUCUUUUUUCUUAAAGUGUCUAACAUUCCUAAGAGAAUAUUGGACCUACAAAAUAAAAAACAUAUCUAAUACAAAUGUAUACAUUUUUUUUUUAAAUACGUUAUAUCUAAACUCUAAAUUUUAACCAUUUACAUCAAUUUUCUAUUAAUAAUAUAUAUAAUUAUUUUUAUAAAAAUAAUGCUAUUAUUUAUGCUCUUUUAAACUAAUACUUUUCAUCCUCAAAUUAAUUUCAGGCCCGCAUUUUUGUUUGAGGUAUAUAGAUACAAUGAAUAUGAUAAGUUUAAGUCUAUUUUUAUGGUUAAAAAUUAAAGAUGUUGAAACGUGUUUCCAUUCACAAACCACUGAUAUUUUUGGGGGUUUCAAGAUUUUUCAAGAUUGAGAAUGGAAUUUAGGAUAAGGAAAAAAAAAAAAUCUACUGAAAAUCACAAGAGGGACCAAAUAUAACUCCAAUCAUGGAAAUCAUGGAAGGCGACUUCGUUUGGUAGAUUGGGAAUCAAAAGAAAAAAAGUUGUGGGAACCACAUGAUAAAUUUAUAAAAAAUAACAAAUAAUCUGUAAUUAUCUUUUCGAUUAUUAUAUGCAAAGCUUUGUCCAUACCUAGUUUUUGACAUAAAAGACUAUGAAAGAUCGUGUCCCAUUUUCAAUGAGCUAUCAAUUUUAUGCGAUGCGUUAAAGCAGAAAAAAAAUAAAUAAAUCAAUCUUUUUGAAUGCAACGUUUGAUGCUUGAAGUUUUUGAAAAGAUUGUUCCAACUAUUGGAACAAAUGAACGAUGGUUGAAGCAUAAGCAUCAACAUUAAUAUUGCACAUUCGAAAUAGGUAUUUAUUGGAAGGUACAAAAAUAAAGUAAUUUAUUGAAUUUAAAUUUUAAUUUAAUUAAUUUAUAUAAUUAUUUUUAAACGAUAACAUAAUAAUUUUAAAAUUUAAAAUUUAAAUAUCAUAAUUUGUAAUUAUUUUUCUUAAUCUCGUAUGAUUUUUUUUUAAAUAAAGUAAUCUUGCUAAAAAAAAAAAGGUGGAAAGAAAGAUCAAACUCUAACUUUAUUAAAAGGAAUCAUAGCAUUGAUAUACGUUACAUUUUGCCUUUUACUUGUGACAUUUUUAAUUUGAAUCCAACCUUUUAUGAUGAGCCUAAAACCUAGGAUUUAGGAACCAAAAAGCAGCGAAAUGUCUAUCAAUGAAAGUCGGCCCAUAUCAAACUUUUUCCAAUUUCAUUCAUGUUAUAUUAUUUUGUUUUUUUUUUUUAUUUUUUUUAAAGAGGCUAAGAUAUUUUAUGUCUGCAUCAAGAACUAACGCCGACCCAUGGCAGCCCACGUAAAUUCCAUGCACGUUGAGCCCAAAAAAAAAAAAAACCAAUCACCAAUAAUUGAAAUAAAAUUAAUUUCAUUUAAAAAAAAUAAAAAUAGCAUAUUAAGAUAAAAUUAAAAGGGUGGAGAACCUUUGUGGAUCGAUGGGGCGUAAAAUAUUUAAUAAUAAAUAUUUUUAUUUAAAAUUUUAAAUAAUUUAUUAUUAUAUUAAUCUUGAAUGCAUAAAUUUGAUUUAAAAUUUUAUAUUUUUAUAUAAUGAUGUGAUUAAUUAAAUAAAUAAUUAUCUGUUUUGAAAUCAAGAGUGAUGACUGAAAAUUAAAACGCUGCUGCUUAACAUAAUUAUUGAGCAUGAAUUUUAUAUAUCAUUUAUAAAAAAAAUUUCAUUUUUAUAAUUUAUUUUUGUAAAAUUCUAGUAAUAUGAAUCAUCAAUUUUUUUAAGGGUAUUCACUAUUUAAUAGUAGUACACAGAGAGAGGAAAAAGCAAAAGAUGUCAAAAAAGCUACAGCUCACAGCAUAGAUUUGUGGGGUCCAUCCAUGUUUGUAGCUCUGGAUUUGGUCGUCCCCUGCUGCCCGGCUCUCGCCUCGUCUUGCCCGCUCGCUUCCCCAUUAACAUCUCGGCUCUUUACCAUUUACUGGCAGUAACAUUUUCUAAUAUUACGUUCCAUACUAAUAUAAAUAAAAUUUAUUUUAUUUUAAUAAUAAUUGUACUCAAAUAUAUAUUUUUAAUGGCAAUGAAUAAUGAUCAUGGGAGUUUGUAUUUAUUGUUUUUUCUUUUUUAAAAUUGAGCUUUUUUUGUUAUUUUUUUAUUAAAAUUUUAAAAUUAUCGUUCAUAUAAAUGAGAUUCAUUUUGUAACUAUAGAUCUCAAAUUUGUAAAUAAAAAAAAUAAAUGUAUUGAAAAUUAGUACUAAUGAAUAAAAUAAAAUUAAUGUACCCAUUUUCUUUAGGCUUUCUACUAAUAUUUUAUUUUGAUAAUGUGAUAUUUAUGUUCUAAUUGUAUGAAAGAAAAAAAAAUAACAAGAAAAAUUCAUUUUUGAUGGGUCAUAUGUUCUUUUGUGAUUCAAUUUAAUCUUUAAUAUUGAAUUAUCAAGAUAAGUAUUCUUAUCGGUUGCAUUAUUCCUAAUAGAAUUAAUGAUAGUUUUGAAUUUGGCCAAAAAGAAAGAAAAAUUUUAAAGUCACCCUUAUUAUUAUUAUUAUGAAAAAUAAUUUUAUUCAUUGUCAGUGAAAUUUUUAAAUUUUACAAAUGAAAUUUGUAAAAAAAAAAAAAAACUUUUUAUUUAUUUAUUUUUUAUCAUUUGAUAAAAUGUAUACACUUUAUCUCUAGUAAUGAAUACAUGAAUUUAUCAUUGAAGGAGUGAUAUUUGCUUGAUCAUUUUGAAUGAUGGCUACAAACUUUCACCAUUGGUCUUAUGAUCUCAGCCCAUGCCCUAAUGUUAGGCUAAUUUUAUCUCAGCCCAACUAGCAUAGCAUACGCAAUACAUGCAUGAUAUUGUUAAUAAAAAAAUAUAGGCAAAUAAUACACAUGCUCUCAAAUAUGGCAAAGAAUGAAGAAAAUCAAACCACUUAAAAAAUUUGCAAAACCUAAGAACAAAAAAUAAAGUUAAAUCAUUUGAAAUAUGCCAUCAAUCGUGUAAUCUAUUGAUCGAAUAUUAAAUUUUUAAUUUCGUAAAUGAAUAUGAUUAGAUUUUGAAUAAUUUAAAAUAAUAAAGUUAGUUAUAUGUCAUUAAAAAUGAAUUUUGAAUUUUAGCAAUCCAAGCAAGUUGAGGGCAGUGCAUGUGCUUAUAGCUUGACUCCUAAGCAAUUCAGUGCAUCUAAAUCUGCUAUAUAUAUAAUAAUAUGCUUUAGGAUGUUGGAUACAUGUAACUUCAGCUUCUGCACCUGUGCAAGGAAGGAAACCCUUUCCUUCUAUGACAGAAUAAUAAUUAUCACUAUCAGAAACUAGAAAUUAACCAUAUUUCAGAACAUAUUCCUUCAUAAGGGGAUGAUAAAAAGAAACCAAUGAUUAAUUUCCUUCUCUCAGGUCUGUUUGAAGCAUGGCUAGCCACAAUCCUUUUAAAUCCAUGCCCUACUUUCAGUUAAAAUUUCUUAAAUCAUGCUUGUUUCCAGGUUUAUAUCUAGGGUUAAUUUUCUUUUGAAACCCUAAAUGGGAUAUGUUGCCUCUUGGUUCAAGUAACCUUUGCUUUCUGAUACAGUAUACUGUAGUUUUCAGUGACAAUAGGUAGGUUCUAAAUCAAACAAAAACAAUAAUUGUGUAUUUUUUCCUCAUGCUUUUUGACUUGUCAGACAGAAGCAUAUACUUUGAUGUAUUGAUUCAGGUAGCGGAUGUAUCCAAGAAACCAGCCCUGGCUUUUGCUGAUGGCCAAAGUUGGAACUUAGUGAAGAUUAGACUGACAUAAUUUUGGACAAAUUACUGUUUAACAAUAUGUUAUGGUUGCCCUAAUCACCAUGCACACCGACCCUCGAAUGGGUGCACGUCUCUAAUUAGACGAAAUAUGCGCCGCAACUGAUGAUUAAUGAAACUUUCAAACAUCUUUUUAGUUCUUGAUCCCAACAUUGAAAGCGACACUUGAACUUAAGUGUUGUAAUCUUAAUUAAUUCUCUAACAACCAAGAUUUCCUUUGUAUUAGUAUUAGUCAAAUAUAUAGUUAUAUAUAUAUAGGACAAGUUCAACAAGAAAACGACAAUAAUGGAGAGUGGAGAGGCAAUAUAAUAGAUUGAUUAAUGUGGAGCCCAUUGUGUUUAAUUAUGUUUAAUGUUUAAUGACAGCAUGGGUGAUUGAUGUUGAAAGUGUCAUUAAUAAUGAUUAAUAAUAAGAAUAAUCAAAAGGGGGUGGGGGGUUAGACUAAUUCCCUUCUUCUAAACAAGAGGCAUAUUUACAAUGCAAGAGAGACACAAACAUAUGUAGAAUCAAGCAUGGUUGACCAGAUGUUUCGUUUUUGUGUUUGUGCUUUUGUCUGAACUUUUUUUUUUUUUUUUUCAAAGGGCAUUGGGAGGCAAGAAGAGCAAGAAAGCAGACCAACAAAGCCUCGGAUCUUUUCUUGAUCAUGUUUUGGGUGACAGAGUCUCCAACAAAAGAGCAAACUCAUUACCAUACUUGUGUUAAUUCUGCUGUUUGCUGACCAGCCUCAUCCUCUAAUCAUUUCUAUCCAGGCUAAAAAUGAAAAAAAAAAAGGAAAAAAAGAAAAAACUACUGUGCCCACAACCACAAUAAUCCAAAUGUUUUUCAAGUCAAAAUUUUAUCCUCUUGACUUUGUUUUUUCUUAUUAAAAAUUAAUAAAAUUCGAAUUAUAAUCAAUGAAAUUUAAAAUGUAAUACUCUAUCAACAAAUGACACGACACCUCUCAAUUUUAUUGCAAUAGUGCAAAGUUGUGAGAACACCUAAACUUAAAGGCUAACAUAAAUUCUAUGCCAUUCUUCUGGCCAAAAUCUUUGCAUCAUUUCAAAAGUUCCUGAACCUUUAAUUAAAAGCCAAAGAAAAGAAGAACCACCCAUUGUGAAAUGAUGUACCAAACAUGCAAAUGUUUUUAAUGUAACAAUAAAUUUCUGCAAAGAAUAUGAAGUACUUUAAAAAAAAAGUAAAAAAUAAUCACUACCCAUUUAUUUAUUUCUCAUCCUCUUGUGGGAAUACUAGAUUUCUCGGCUUUAUGAAAUUGUUUUUGGAUCUUUGAAGUGUAUGUAGAGAUUCUGAUCUUCACAAUAGAAUAUUUAAAGUCUUGAUUAAGAAUCAAUUAAUGCAAUAUUAUGCAAAGGGACCACUUUUGAAACACUUACAUCAAAUCAAGUGCACAUAAAAUAUGGGUUUGUUUAAACUAAUCUCUGCAGAUUUUCUUCUUACAGAAAUUGUUAAAUAAAUGGAGAACAAUGAAUAUUAAAAAAUUUUACUAAUUUCUAUGUGGGGAUGAUAAUUAAAAAAAUUGGAGUAGAUUACUUGUUGCAUUGACAGAGUGAACAGUUUAAAAAAUUUUGUAAAGAACUUUUAAGAUCUUGCAUAGGCAUCAAGAUAGAUGGUGUGGGACAGAGGGGAAUAAAUUAAGGUAGUUGGGGGGACAGCUUCUCUGGAAGUCACUAGGGCCAAAAAGAAACACUCCCAACUUUGAAAUGUGGAGACGAGUGGGAAUAUCCUGCUUACAUAAGAUAAAUUAUGAUUUUAAUUCUGAAAUGGGGCUCUAGCCCUAAUGAUCUUUCUCUUUACAUGGGAUUAGAUUUUUUUAAUAAAAAGUUUGCAAUUCAGAAUUGAUAAAAAAAAUAUAUAUUGUUUUGAAUAUUGUUUAAAAGAUGAUUAUAAACCUACACAAGUUUUUGCAAAAAAGUAUAUAAUAACAAAUAAUUUGCUUUUAACUUGAGUCAUAGCAUAUCUUCCAACUUGCACCAAAGGCUGCAAAUUCAAACAUAAAUGGGUUAGGAAAUGGGAUGAAUGGGUUUAUAACCUAAACCACAAAUUUGUGUGAAGGAAACCAUGUAUGGGCUACCUCACUUGCUGCACUUUUUUCCAGCAACUUGCAAUUUUAAUCAGGUUAUAGGAAGGCAAGCUUUUGACCAGAUCAAUGCUCGAAGACUCAACAUUUUUGGCCGUUUUCUUUUUAAACUUUGGGGUGAACAGGGCUGAAGCUGAUGGGACUCUGUUUUUUCAAUUGAAUGAAGUAGCAAAAACUUUUGUAAGUGUGAAAAUACCAUAGCUCAAGAAGGAUAAUGGAAGAAGAAAAUACUUGAUCACCGAAUAUUCUAGGUCUGGGUCCUUUUUGGAUUCUCUUCAAGCCUUGUAAAUGAAAAGAUUACAGAAAAUGCCUGGUCCAUCACAAAAUUUGGUUUUUACUUUCAACGUACAAGUAAAUUAAAUGUAAGGGAAACUUUUGAGGUGUAAUGAAAUUGAGAAAAUUACUCGUAUUCAAGUUCAAGUGUAAUAUCCAUCGAUUUCCUGAUAAACCCAUUACUCCAUUUUACAGUCUUUUUUCUUGCACUCAUUGAUGAUUGCUUGCAAGUGGUUCUGACUUUGAAUACAGGCCCCUAAGAUGACACACGAAACAGUCUUACUAACAAUCUGUAAUUGCAGAAGAACCUCUUCAACUGUCGUUAAAUUUUCAAACGUCCUCAAGUAGCGGAGUUAUGAAUCAAUCAGAGUGCAUUUGACAUGGAAAACCUUAGACGUUUCACCAUCUUCACUCUCUCACCUAUCCAUACCUACACACGCCAACUCCAUCUCCCCAUACACUUUUCUCUCAGUUAUGUAGCAUUCACUUACUAACUUUCAAUUUCACUCCCUAGAAAUCAUAUUGUAUGCUACUCAGAGAAAUUUUCGAUGGUAGAUAGCCCUCACUCAUCUUCUUCAAAGUCCAUGAGAAAAUCAGUCAAGUUCUCUGAAUCGUCGAUAGCCUCUUCCAAGGACAUUGGGUCCUCCUUUUUUGGCUUAGCCUGCAAAGUCAAGGAAGAAUACAUAACAAAAUUGCCUGAAACAGACCGUAAUUAAGUGAGCAAGUAGAAUUAUAAGUUAGCAUUCAAGUUUGAAUGGUUGCUUUCAUAGCUUUCCAACCUCCAAAUUUUCUUCCUUCCACUAUUUGAUGCUCAUUUGAGGUACUCCCCAAAAAAGUAAGAAAGAUAAAAUCGUGCUAGAAAACUACCAAGCCAGACAAAAAAAUGACAACAAAGAAGCACCUUUGACUUUCGAAGCUGAGGAGUACUUUUCAGAACACUCCAAUUGCGUGUGAUUUUCUCCUCUUCUUCUUCACCAUCAACAUUACUGUCUUCCUCUUCAUCAUCCUAUAAAGUAUUUUUCAAAACAGAAAAAUGUCAUUCUCAAAACAGCCAAAACUAUAGUAUGAAGCAACCACUUCCAAGAAUGAAUAAAAUAGUUAUAAAAGAGAAGAUGAAAGCUAAAGCAGAAAAGACAAUUAGACUCACUUCAUUUUCACCAAUAUCAACAGCUUGGGCCAUAGCAUCAUCUAUAUCUGUCAUCUGCAGUAAUUACAAGUUAUCAGUAACUAAUUGAAAUUAACACUUCUAGUAAUGAUUGGUUUGCUUCAACAGUUUUAUUCAGCAUUAGUAAUUCAGCUAAAAUCUGAAAUAAAAACCAACCAAAGGGAAAGAUAAAAUAACAACGUCAUUGUGUGAUAUGUGUCAAAAAGUAAAUAAUUAAUACAACGUAUAUCCUAUAUACUUCUACCGCAUGCCAAUUUAUUCCCCUUUAUCACAUUCCAGUAUACUUUCAUUUCUAAGAAAAUUUUAGUUUUCUACUUCAACAGGCAACCAACUUUCUCAAGCUCAAUAAAGUAACAUAGCUAGGCAUUUAAAUGGCACAACUUUCUCAAGUUCAUGAAGUCUGUACUCAUUAUAAUUACCUCGAGUUCUUCAGUCUUCUUCUCUUUUGCCAAAAUUUUCUCAAGCUCCUCCCUUGUUAUGAGUUUGCCAUGCUGAUCAGAGGGAAUGUAAGCACUUAAUGGAGGCAAUAAUAAUUGGAAAACAAAAAUUAAGAACAAGACUUCAAAAAUUAUCAAGAAUUCUAACUCAAACGAACCCAUUGAGAUGACCCAAGAAUUUCGCUAUUUCGAUUUUUCCAGUCCUUGGGAACAGCGUAGCGACGGAUAAU